This 87649-nucleotide long non-coding RNA is filed under the name Triticum aestivum (bread wheat). RNAcentral's name for it is "long non-coding RNA (TAES_LNC003230)". The stretch from base 85644 to 85828 matches the Rfam family "Antisense RNA which regulates isiA expression". Lineage: Eukaryota; Viridiplantae; Streptophyta; Magnoliopsida; Poales; Poaceae. The record is from RNAcentral.
GGUGCAAAUGUCUCCAUGCGCGGUCGCGUAGCUUGACUCGGAGUAUGAGUCCAAUAUGGGUGCCGUCUUCAUGUUGUUGAAGAGGUUCUCGCUCGUCGUCGUGGUCGAAGGGGAUGGCCCUUGCUCGACCGUCUUGUCACCGUCUUGGUGUGGGAGGCCCAUAUGAUGUGGCACCUCGUAGCUCGUCUCCAUGACCGAAGGGAGUGUCCCAUGCUCGGCCAUCUUCCUUUGGGGGCUUCCGAAGAUGGAAGUGGCACCCUCGCUUGUAGGUGGUCGCCUUGGACUUGAUGAAGUCGUUGUAGGUGUACUUGUUGGAAGUAGGCGAAGAUGUCGUACGUCCAAAGGCGAAGAUGCCUUGAUAGCACUUGGCGAAGAUGCCAAAGUGGUUGUUGCAGCCGUAGCACCGUCUUGGUGGUGGUCGUCUCGCGGUCUUCUCUUGUGCUUAUGAAGCUUGGACUUGGCGUGAAGUAGGGCUUGUUGGGACUUGUGCACUUGCGCUUGUGGAGCAUCUUCAUGAUGAUGAUGUCAUUGUCGUGCUUGAGCUCGUUGGCGUUCGUCGUCGUCGUGCACAUGAUGCUUGGAGGUGACUUGCCCUUCAUGACGAUGUUGAUCACGAACGUGAUGGUGGUCGCCAUGUAGAUGUUGACUUGGACGACUUGCACUUGCAUCUUGUUUGCGCUCCGAAGACUUGUGGCUUGAAUGUCGCCGCCUUGAAGAUGAUGAAGGGGAAGUAGACUUGAUCAAGGCUCUAAUCUCCUCCAUCCUUGCAUCUUGCUCCUCUUUAUGUGCGGCAAGCUUCUUCUCGAUGUGCUCUCGCAAUCUUGAUUGUGCGCCUUGCACUUGUCGUUGUAGAUCGAAGAUAGACGCUUUGGUGAUGUAGUUGUUCACGCCAUCGUUGUUGUCGAGGACCGGAGAGGAAAUGCCUUGCCUAUCCAUCACAAAACUCUAGCAAAUAUGUGUGGGAGAAAGAGAAGAACUUAUACCAAUGUACCUUGACCGAUGUUGACAAUGAAUCAAGUUCACUCAAAUGCGGACAAUGAAAUAGCACUAUUGGUACCAAUCCUUGUCGGUUCUCACACCUACACAAGUAAAGCUUAUGGAGGAGCUCGGUGAGGAUAGGGGCACAAAAAUUUAAUGCAAAAUAUUAGCAAGAGUCAAUAAUGUUGAAAGAGAUUCACAAAUUCGCAAGCGAAACAAGUAGACCAAUAGCAAUAUGUGGCACACGGAAACACACACACACAGAUAGAUAAAUGGGGUCAUGGAACCAAGGAAUGAUCACAAAAUGUGGAAUCCACGGAAGACGCUCGUGUUGCACAACUCAAGAGAGACGCUAGCACGAUUGCUCAAUAGGCGGAUACGGCACUUGUGCACAACCUAUAAGAUGCAAAAUGGAUAAACUUUCUAUCCCAAGUAUGCUAUGUAUGUAUGGUUCCCGGUGUUUCUCUCAAGAUGAUCCAAGAUGAUCGGAUAUGACAAUCUUAUAUGCAAUGUGGUAUGAUGCUAUGGCACUUGCAUACAAGCUUCUUUGCUCUCUUUCUUUUGCUUAAAAGCUUAUUCUCUUUUUCUUUUAUAUGGCCACUUUUGCAAAAUGCACAAACCAAGAUAGCAAUUCUGUAUAUGCGGGAACAAACUUGUGACACAAGAUAUGAUACCAAUAUAUGCACCACAAUGGUAUGGUAUGUAUGCAUUGGGAAGUAUGAUCACUAAUGUGCACAAGUAACGUUGCCGGCAAUACUCAAAUGGCUAGUCUCGAUAGGCAAGUAACACAAAAUGGGCUAGGGGUUAACAAUGCAAUUGCAAGGGAAUAUACAAUGGUGUCGUCGAGGUUACCGUCCUUUGCGAUGAUGAGUGGCGGUGUUCUUGAUGUAGAUACUAAGAUGAUGGAGACUCGUCCCUAAGUAGCCGAAACACCUUAGGAAACGGAAAAACCGCGAACUCAAAAUCUCAAAUGACAAAUGUCAAAUGGUGGUAGCGGAGAGCGGUGGUGGUUUGCACUUGGCAAUGUGGAAAUGGGAUGAUGGGUUAUGCGAGUCAAUGCUGAAGUUGCCGUCCCUAAGUAGCCGAAACACCUUAGGAGACACAAGCCACGACUCAGACAAGCUCAAACAACUAUUGGGUUAAGUUGGGGGUGGAAAUGUAUGGUGGGUAAGCCUAUGCGGAAGUGGUGGUGGUGGUUGAUGAAGAAGCAAUUGUCCCUAAGUAGCCGAAACACCUUAGGAGACUCAAAUCACUACUCAAGCAACCACUAAUGCUAUGGAUCACAAUGGGUUAGGUUGUGGAAGUCGGUGGUGGUGUAGCGGAUGAUAUGGUGGAGGGCCUAGGCACACUUGCCAAAUUUUGGAAACUUUGAUGGAGUCAAAUGAUGUUGGUUGUAUUUUUGUGGGAAGGGGGAUGUCAAUAGCUUCAAAACGAGCUAAAGAACGUCAAAAUCGGAGUUCGAAUGAAUUAGUUAUGGCCGAAACAAGAAUCAGCCGAAGUCAAAACCUACAGGUUACGGACGUCCGUAAAGGUCGGAUGUCCGGAGCGUCGGACGUCCGGAAAAGUCGGAAAUCCGUAAAUUCGGUUCGGGUUAGGGGUUCCGGUCGUCCGGAAAAGGUCGGACGUCCGGUCGUUCCUGGGGCUUCGGACGUCCGUGAAACUCCGGUCGUCCGGUGGGUCGGGGUCAACGCGAGAUGCGAUUUUGGGGGCGCGAUUUUGGGCGGAAAAUGGAGAUUUUGGGGUCAAAAUUGAUGAGAUUUCGUGGAUGAAAGAUGGGGAAACUUGGGGAGAUGCUAGAUCCACUUGAAACCAAGCAAAUCGAUGGAUCAAAAUCAACAAAACAUCAUCAAACCAACAAAUCAAAAAAAAAUUGGGGCUAUUUUUGGUGGGGAUUUUCGGAUUUAGGGAAGAACACAACAAAAUCAAGCUAGAAAAAGAGGGGUAGGGGCUCCAAAAACGUGAUCAACGUGGCUCAUGAUACCAUAUGAUGUAGGGUGGAACCCUAUGUGGACGAUCUUUCAUGUUUGGAGUGGAUCCUAUGGGAAAACACGAAGAACGCGCGGAAGAACACGAGGAAAUCACGGGGAGGAACGAGGGAAAACACUCAACCAACAAGGAAUCGGUCACACAAGUGCUAGAUCAAAGAACACAAAGAGAUACACGAGAUCCAAAGUCAACAAAGGUAAGGAUACAUAGGUAACCGAUCUUCUCCGUGAGGAGGCCUUGAAAUCCAUGAGGGAAUCUUCCCACGAGGUGGUCUUGAAUCCGAUAGGAUCUUCUCCGAGGAGGCCGCGGUCUCUCACAAGGAGGAGAUCCGGUGGAUGAGCGAAGCUCUAUCUCUAAUUGAGCUAAUUCAACGCUAAAUCUAACUAGGAGGAGGUGGGGGAGUAUAUAUAGUCUAGGGCCACGAAGCAGUACAUGGGCUGCGGCCCAACACAUGACAGCGCACAGGCGUCGGACGUCCGGAGGGUUCCGGUCGUCCGGAGGCUCGAGAAGGUCUGGACGUCCGGUCGUCUCCGGACUUCCGCUAAUUCGGCUCGGGUGUGAUGGUGCCGGUCAUCCGGAGGUGCUCGGUCGUCCGGGUCCUGGGAUGUGUCGGAUGUCCGGUAGUUGCCGGUCGUCCGGCCGCUGUAGCUUCUGUCGGCUGGCCCUUCUGGCUGGCUGAGUGCCCAGGCGUCGGACGUCCGGCGUUGUCCGGUCGUCCGGAAGCUGAAGACUACGAGCAGCUUCUUCUCUUGGUCCUUGUACUUGGUGUCCUCGCCGUUUUGUCCAAUGCUCGUAGUUGUUCCAUGGCCUUCGUCUUGGUUCCUGGACAUGCAUAGCACACACGUUUGAGGUAGUAGGCAUGUCUCACAUGUGGAAAGUGACGAUCCGGAGAGGAGCGAGUUCACCUUGUGUCCAAUGGCGCAUAGAUGAGGCCUCGUCAUAAGUCCACUUGGGGUUUGGAGAGUAGUCGGAGUGUACAUGGGGAUGAACGUGGGAUGCUCCGCAUCACUAGGCCCACUCAAUUUUUCAGAAAAAUAUGCAACAGGUUUGCCAUCUUGUAAUAACACACCUCCUAAUCCAAUUCCACUAGCAUCACAUUCAAGCUCAAAAGUCUUAUUAAAAUCAGGAAGUUGGAGUAAAGGAGCAUGUAUCAACUUAUCUUUCAAUACCGUGAAGGCUUCUUCCUGUGCGGUACCCCAAAGAAAAGGCACAUCUUUCUUUGUAAGAUCAUUGAGAGGUGCAGCAAUGGUGCUGAAAUCUCUCACAAAACGCCUAUAGAAUCCAGCGAGGCCAAGAAAACUCCUCACUUGUGUGACCGUUUUGGGCUGCGACCAACUCUCAAUAGCGUCAAUCUUGGCUUUAUCAACUUCAAUUCCCUGUGGAGUAACAACAUAGCCAGGAAAAAAUACUCGGUCGGUGCAAAAGGUGCACUUCCCGAGGUUACGAAACAAACGUGCAUCACGCAUAGCAAUAAAAACAGCACGUAAAUGUUCCAGAUGUUCUUCCAAAGAUCUGCUAUAAAUCAAUAUGUCUUCAAAGUAAACUACCACAAAUUGUCCAAUGAAAGCACGUAAAACUUCGUUCAUUAAUCUCUUGAAAGUACUAGGUGCAUUAGUUAACCCAAAAGGCAUGACUAACCACUCAUAUAAUCCAAACUUAGUUUUAAAUGCUGUUUUCCAUUCAUCUCCCAAUUUCAUACGAAUUUGAUGGUAUCCACUACGCAAAUCAACUUUGGAGAAUAUGGUAGAGACACUCAAUUCAUCAAGCAUAUCAUCUAGCCUAGAAAAAUAGUAAUAUUAUUAAUGCCUCUACAAUCAACACACAUACGUGGUGUACCAUCCUUUUUGGCACUAGAAUAAUAGGAACAGCAAAAGGACUAAGGGAUUCGCGUAUAUAACCUUUGUCGAGAAGCUCUUGUACUUCACGCAUAAUCUCCUUCGUCUCCUCUAGAUUGGUACGGUAUGGCGCACUGUUUGGCAGUGAAGCAUCGGGAAUUAAGUCAAUCUGAUGCUCAAUCCCUCGAAUAGGCGGUAAUCCUGGUGGCACGUCUUGUGGAAAGACGUCAGCGAACUCCUGCAAAAUGUUAGUGACAGCAGGAGGCAAAGAGGAAGGCACGUCCUCGAAUGAAAAUAAUGCCUCUUUGCACACAAAAGAAGAGCAAACUGAUUUUCUGAAAUCUAGCUCAUCAAUAUCAGAUUUGGUGGCAAAUAAACACACACUUUUCAAUUUAAUUUCAGAAGCAACACUAGAUGGUUUAUUAUUAGGCUUCAUUUGUUGCUCAAAUUCUGUUGCCACAAUAUGAUUUUCACUCUUAUUCUUCUCCUGUUUUGCUUUAUUAGCUCUAUUAAUAUCAUCUUUCAAAAUAGAAUCAGGAGUCAUAGGAAGCACAGUAAUAUUUUUAUUCUUAUGAACAAGAGUAUACUGAUUGUUUCUACCAUGGUGUACAGAAUUUUUAUCAAAUUGCCAUGGUCUACCAAGUAAUAAGGAACAUGCUUGCAUAGGUACCACAUCACAAUCAACAUAAUCAGCAUAUGUAGAGAUACUAAAAUGCACACGAACAGUACGUGUUACCUUAACCUUGCCACUGUUGUUGAACCAUUGGAUGUAGUAAGGAUGUGGAUGUGGUCUUGUGGUGAGAGAAAGCUUCUCCACCAUCUCCAUGCUAGCCAAGUUGUUGCAGCUCCCUCCGUCUAAGAUGACGCGCACAGAACGUUCCUUCACAACUCCCUUGGUAUGGAACAAAUUGUGCGUCUGAUUUUGCUCAGCUUGUGUGACCUACACACUCAAAACACGUUGAGCAACUAAACAUUCAUACCUGUCAGCGUCUUCAGGAGCCAUGUAUUGCGUCUCAUGAUCAAAAUCAUAUCCACCAUGUUCUUCACUUGUAAUAAGGGCCAAAGUCUCCUCAUCAUAGUCACUAGCGGACUCAUACCCACCAUCCUCGGUAGCAAUCAUCACACUCUGGGAUUUGCAUUCUCUCGCAUAAUGACAUCUUCCCUUACAACGACGACUAAUAAUAUCACUUGUGUCCCCUGUUGAUGCCAUGGAAGAAGAACAAGUUUGUACAGGCCCGGCAGGUGCGCUCUUGGCAGAUAAUGGUGGUUGUGCCUGUUUUCUUGUAUCACGGCUAGAGGAGGCACCUGAUUGAGGUGCUGGUGCAGUUGAAGUAGAAGAUGCACGCGGUGUCCAUGAUGAAGGUCGGCCUACAGAAAAGUUAGUUCGCGCCAAUGCUUGUCGAUCCUGCACUUCAAGUUCAGCUUUACAAGCAAGAUGGAAUAAACGAGUGAUAUUAGUAUACUCCUUAUACUCUAGAAUGGUCUGAAUCUAUCUAUUUAAUCCACCUAGAAAACGAGCAAGCAUAGCUUCAUUCUCCUCAACAAUACCACAUCUAAUCAUGCCAGUAUGUAAUUCCUGAUAAUAUUCUUCUACAGAAUUUUUACCUUGUCUUAAACGCUGCAAUUUUUGAAGCAAUUCACGUUGAUAAUAUGGUGGAACCCAACGCGUACGCAUAGCAGUUUUCAAAGCAGCCCAAGUAGUUGGAAUAGGAUAUAAUAUACAAUGUUCAGACCACCAUACACAUGCAAAACUAGUGAAAGCACAAACAGCAGCAGCAACCCGUCUCUCCUCGGGAUAUUGUAAACAUGUAAAUCGUUGUUCAAUUUCUAACUCCCAAGUAAGAUAUAUAUCAGGAACAUAUCUACCCUCAAAUGGUGGAAUAUUCAAUUUCAGUUUAGGAAUAUGGACAUCAUCUCGUACUUGAGGUGGUAGUGCAGGCCUACCGUUGCGAACAUAUACCUGAGGUCGACCUGGUGGUGGUGGUGCUGGUGGCUACACGUAGUUCUGAUUUUGAUCAACCUCAUCCUCGUAAUCGCCCGCAUACUCAUCAUCCUCCGCAUCAGCAGCAGGAGACACAGAAGUAUCAACAGCAGCACCAACAGUUUGGCCAGGCCGAAGGAGUACACGGCUCGCUCGGCGGAGGGCUGUUUCGCGACCUGGAGGUAAUUGUUGUUGUUGUUGUUGUUGUUGCAGAGGUGCGGCAGGUGCAGCCGGUGGUGGAAGACGCGCAAGCAGUUCAUUAAAUCUGUUAUCGAGCUUUGUUUCGAACGUCUUCUCAAGGCCAGUGAUCUUCUCCAUGGCCUCUUCAAAAUUGUUCAGCAUAUCUUGCACCUGUUCAGUCAUCAUUUGCUGAAACUUAUCAUGAAGCUCCUUGUUCGAUAAGUUCUCCCAGUCAAUCUCGUCGUCUUAUGAUCCUGGCAUGGUUAGUAGCAAUAGAAACACACAAGAAUAUGAUCCUACAGACUACGAACAAGUGGUGGUGUUGGGUGUCACAAAUCCGUCAAGCAAAACUCAAAUUCUUACCAGUUCUUACCCAGUAGCAGGCGGUGAUCGGCAACCGUUGUAGUAAAAACUCUCAAAGCUUGGAUAGAGCGAUUACCAGGGAGAGUCAAACGCACGACGUAGAUGUAUGCGGAGCUGGGAAGGCUUAUAAUAUGGUAGCAAAAGGGGUCAACAAUAAUCAAUUUAGAGAUGCAAAGUUGAAUAAACGCUCAACAACGGUACUGUGCUGGUCCUAGGCUAGACCGCGCUAGAGACGCGAGCCUAGAACACUAACAAAAUCACGGCGCUACACGUAAACAAGGGAAAAGCACACUCUGGAAAUGGGUCACUAUAAUGGCGAGUGUCUCAAAACUCUUCCCAGGUCAAACUGACAGGAUGGGCACGAAAUUUUUUCGACUGCCCGGACCCAAAAAACUGGAAACGGGUCAAAAAAACUUUCUAUAAUAGUGACUGUCUCAAUACGCUUAGAAACACCUAAAAAUAGGAUAGCCAGAAUUUUUUUUGUCUAGUGCGUUUUUGGAAAAUUUUGGGCCUAAACGGAGGGUGGUUUCCGGACUCUUUUUUUUCUGAAACCUACUCAGGCAAGGAAACACGAAUCGGAAAUUAGAUGGAGCUCGAAAACAAACCUAAUAUGCAAUGAACUCGGAUUGGUGGUGGAUAUAUGGUGGUGGUAUAUGGCAGCAGUGGUGGUAUAUGGCAGCGGUGGUAGUAUAUGGAUAUGGAUCGGUGGUGGUAUAUGGAUACGGAUUGGUGGUGGUAUAUGGAUACAGAUUCAGAGCGGUGGUGGUAGAUGACAGGGGCGAUGAUGAUGGUGCGGUGGCGGCGUGACAACUUAUGACCAGAACUCAAACUCUAAAAGACGAACGCUAAGACCAGUAACUAGACACGACGAUGCAACCACAAAUUCAACAAAGCAAAACCCUAAAAACACUAUGCAAAGGCUCAGAUUGGUUCAGAUAUGAUGAACUAACCCUAAUUUUUUUGGCUUUUUCGUGCACUGUAGGUAUGAAGAACAUACUCGAUCUAAACUAGGAAAAACUGUAAAAUGUCACCGAGCAACCUGGAAAUCUGAUACCAGUUGAUAGAGGCAAAGGUGUCCCAUCUUUCGAUGAGAUGAUGGAUAUCGCUUUGGUGUAAGUCGACUUUGACGAUCUGACUACGAACGUGCGAGGACGUCGCGCCUCAGCAAUCGCUAAACCAACUUCGAGAGGUUAUUGACCACGCCAGAGGUCGAUCAACCUGACCACGAGGGUCUGUUUCCUGCGAGCAAACGAAGAACAAGCAAGAAACUGAGAUUGCAAUCUGGAUAUUGCGAAUAUAAGAUGAAAGCUUUAUUGAUCAAGGUGGGGUUCUGUGACGCCUUUGUCUGGUCAUUGAACACAAACAAAGUACGCGAAGUUGCAGCUAUGGCGAACUUUUAAUCUAAACAAAACCCAAAGUCUAAACGGUGCCCUAAGGGCUGUAUAUAUGGAGGAAGAGGGGGGAAUUUCGUGGCCCUUGGUGGAGGGGUCCAAAAUCAACCCUAUCUCUUGUUUCUCCACACAUACGGACUCUAAAAAUAUCCUAUACUUAUGUAUUUCGAAAUUACAAGGGCCUGGCCCAAUAAUAAGGUGACGCACCACCUAGAAUAGCCUCGGGAUGAAAUUUAUGAAGUGGCAUCUUGUAUACUUCGUCCAAGGCUUCAUGCACCCAUUUUAGUGGCUUCAAAGUCCUGAAAUCAUCACUUGUAACUCCGUUCUUGUUCCCCUUGCGCAUGGCAUCAUCUCCAUGCUUGUUCUUGCUCCAAUGUUCAUCCUUCUCCAAGCUAGGCCCUUCAUUUGUAAGCAAAACAAAUGUAUCCAAUUUAGGCAGCAUCAUAUUCUCAUGAACAUUAGAAUCAUUACCAAGAAACGAAAGUACCUGAUAAUUUAAUUGGCGUGCGCGAGCUCUAGUAAUUGGUCCAGUACAUGUAGCAGUAGAUGAUGUGGGUGUAAGAAUGGUAUUGAUGUCCUCAUCAAGAGGUGAGUAGGAAAUGAGAUAAACAAUACCAAGUUACCUUUUCCCAAAGUUGAGGAUGUAUCCCGUUUCACACAAUGUGAGAUGAAAGAAUAGUGGAAUUGGUACCGGACUUGUUCACACACACCUAUCAAGUAAAGCUUAUAGUGGAGCUCGGUGAGGAUAGUGGCACAAAAUUUUGAUGCAAAAUGUUAGCAAAAGUCAAUAAUGUUGGAAAAGAUUCUCAAAUCAGCAAGUGAAACAAGUAGACCAAUAGAAAUAUGUGGCACACGGAAACACACACACGAAUAGAUAAAUGGGGUCGUGCAACAAAGGAAUGAGCACAGAAUGUGGAAUCCACGGAAAACGCUCGUGUUGCACAACUCAAGAGAGACGCUAGCAUGAUUGCGCAAUAGGCGGAUACGACACUUUUGCACAACCUAUAAGAUGCAAAUGUAUGAGCUUUCGAUCCCAAGUAUGUUAUGUGCAUGAUGUUCCCGAUGCUCUUCUCAAGAUGAUCGGAUAUGACAAUCUUAUGUGCAAUUUAGUAUGAUGCUAUGGCUCUUGCUCAUAAGCUCUUUGCUCUCUUUUUGCUUAAAAGCUUAUUCUUUUUUUAUUCCUUCUUUUUUUUGUUAUGGCCACUUAUGCAAAAUGCACAAACCGAAAUAGCAAUUGUGUAUAUGUGAGAACGAUCUUGUGACACAAGGGAUGAUAUGAUGAUACCAAGAUGAUACCAAUAUGAUAUGGUAUGUAUGCAAUGGAAGGUAUGGAUCACUAAUGUGCACAAGUAACAUUGCCGGCAAUACUCAAAUGGCUAGUCUCGAUAGGCAAGUGACGCAAAAUGGGUUAAGCGGUUAACAAUGUAAUGGCAAGAAUGUACAAUGAUAGGAUACCACAAUACCAAGAUGAUAUAGAGGGUACCGUCCUUGCUUACGGUUAGGGUGUCAAAUUGGUGAAGUGGUCGAUGUCGAUGACGACCUCGCGGAGAUGAUGAGUCACGGUUUUGUUGAUUUCGAUACUAAGAUGAUGUAGACCCGUCCCUAAGUAGCCGAAACACCUUAGGAAAUGGUAAAAAACCGCGAACUCAAAAUCUCAAGGAAAAUGUCAAAUGGUGGUAGCGGAAAGCUAUGGUUGUUCCAGAGUUAGCAAUGUGGAAGUGGUGGUGGUGGUUGAUGAUGAAGCAACCGUCCCUAAGUAGCCGAAACACCUUAGGAGACUCAAGUCACCACUCAAGCAACCACAAAUGCAAUAUGGAUAAAAAAUGGGUUCGGUGGCGGAAAGCGAUGGUGGUUUUGCGAAUGAUAUGGUGGAUGGCCUAUGCAAAGAUGCCAAAAUGCCAAAAUUUUGAUGGAUUCAAAUGGUGGUGGAACCUAUCUAGAUGGAUGGGGGAUGCCAGUAGCUACUCAACGAGCUAAAGAACGUCAAAAUCAGACUCCGGAGGUGAANNNNNNNNNNNNNNNNNNNNNNNNNNNNNNNNNNNNNNNNNNNNNNNNNNNNNNNNNNNNNNNNNNNNNNNNNNNNNNNNNNNNNNNNNNNNNNNNNNNNNNNNNNNNNNNNNNNNNNNNNNNNNNNNNNNNNNNNNNNNNNNNNNNNNNNNNNNNNNNNNNNNNNNNNNNNNNNNNNNNNNNNNNNNNNNNNNNNNNNNNNNNNNNNNNNNNNNNNNNNNNNNNNNNNNNNNNNNNNNNNNNNNNNNNNNNNNNNNNNNNNNNNNNNNNNNNNNNNNNNNNNNNNNNNNNNNNNNNNNNNNNNNNNNNNNNNNNNNNNNNNNNNNNNNNNNNNNNNNNNNNNNNNNNNNNNNNNNNNNNNNNNNNNNNNNNNNNNNNNNNNNNNNNNNNNNNNNNNNNNNNNNNNNNNNNNNNNNNNNNNNNNNNNNNNNNNNNNNNNNNNNNNNNNNNNNNNNNNNNNNNNNNNNNNNNNNNNNNNCGGGGUUUGGGGGUGCGGGCACCCGGGGUGGUCCGAGGCAAACAACCCGGGGUUGCGGGUGCCCGGGGUUUGGGGUGCGGGAACCCGGGGUGGUCAGCGGGGGUGGGCGGGGAGGUCCGGGUGCCCGGGGUUUGAGGUCCGGGUGCUCGGGGGUGUCGGAUUUGGGCGGAAAUUUGUGGGAAGAUGCAAGAAAUUGGUGGAUUUUGUGGAGAGAAAGGUGGAGAUGGAUGGGGGGAAGGCUAGAUCCACUUCAAACCAAGCAAAUCCAUGGAUCAAAUCCAACAAAAUCUCAUCAAACCAACAAAUCACAAAAAAAUUUGGGGCUACUUUUGAUGGGGAACUUUCGAAAUUGGGGAAGAACACACAAAAUUAGGCUAGAAAACAAGAUGGGGGGCUCCAAUCGUGAGAAACCAUGGCUCAUGAUACCAAUAUGUUGUAGGGUGGAACCCUAAGUGAAUAUCUUUCACGAAUUGGAGGGGGAAUCCCCAAGAACAAGAGGAACACUCAAGAACAAGUCCAAUCACACGUCCACUAGACCAACAAACACAGAAGAUCCACAAGGUACAUGAACAAUCAAAGGGAAACACGAUACAUGGUAGAGUUCAUCCCAAAUCCUAUGAAGGAGAUGAGGGCUUGAAUCCCUAGGGACCUUCUCCAAGAGGAGGGCUUGAUCUCCAAGAGGACCUUCUCCAAGAGGAGGCCUUGAUCUCCAAGAGGAGCUUCUCCAAGAGGAGGUCUAGAUCUCCAAAAGGAGGAAGAUGAGCAAAGCUCUCUCUUUGUCUAUCCAAUACUUUGCUAUAUCUCAAAUGAGCUAGGUGGGGGUACUUAUAGUGUAGGGACAAAUUCGGGGCAAGAGAGGGGUACAAGGGUCAAAACCCAUAAAGUGCAUGUAGGCAUACGGAGGGGUCCGGGCACCCGGGGUGCGGAGGACCGGGCACCCGGUCCGGACAGAGAGGCCUCGGCCUUCUUGCUGUUGGGGCCGGGCACACAGGGGCUGAGGGCCCGGGCACCCGGUGCCGGUUGGGCCAGCGGCCAGGAGAAGGGCGGGCACUCCAGCGCCAGGUGGGGAAGGGCCGGGCACCCGGGGGUAGCGGCCCGGGCACCCGGGGCGGCGGUGCAACUCCCAGGUUGGGAGGCCGGGCACCCGGGGUCUCCUGGCCGGGCACCCGGGGCGACUAGGGCCAUCUCCCAGCCGGAGGCCGGGCACCCGGAGGCAUGGGGUCCGGGCACCCGGGGUGUCCCAAGUCCAUGGAAGAAGAGAACCAACGGAAGAAGGCAAGAUCAGCCUCCAAGCACCGGACAUCCGGCCAGGACCCUGGACAUCUGGCCCCUGGAGAUCCAAAAGGCCAGGCCUCUGCUGAAGAAGCUACAGGGAUCGGACAUCUGGCGUCCAGCCCGGACAUCCGGCCCCCACCGGAAAUCCGGCCUAAAUCCCGGACAUCCGGCACUGUCGUCCAGGGAGCACAGAAGCUUGCCCCGACAGCCCGGACAUCCGGCGUUCGCCCUGGACAUCCGGUGCCUCCCAAAGCUGCGGACAUCCGGCCCCUCCGAGCGGACAUCCGGUGUCACCCAUCCAGUGAAUAGAAGAGUCAACUCCACUGGCCCGGACAUCCGGCCCCUCCAGCCCGGACAUCCGGCACCUCGUGAGUGCGCGGACAUCCGGCUCGUCGCCCGGACAUCCAGCACCCUCUGCCUGCGCGCAACUCCUUUGGGCCGUCACCCAUGUACCCCUUCGCCCUUUGACUAUAUAUACUCCCUCAUCCCAUACGUUUUAGGGUUAGCAUUGGUUUAGCUCAAAUUUUGUGUGAGAGCCUUGCUCAUCCACUUGGUUACUUCUCCUCGGAGCUCACGACCUCUUCGGAGAAGAUCCCCCAAGCGGAUUCAAGACCCCUUCAAGGGAAGACAAUCAAGACCUCCUCACGGAGAAGAACGGCUACCUUUGUAUCUUUCCUUUGUUUAUUUUGAAUCUUGUGCUACCUCAUGUGUUCGGUGAUCUAGCCCUUGUGUGAUCGAUACUUGUCGGUUGAGUGAUUCUCUCGUUCCUCCCCGUGUUUUCCCCUUUGUGUUUUCCGCGCGUUCUUCGUGUUUCCCCGUAGGAUCCACUCCAAACGUGAAAGAUCGGCCACCUAGGGUUCCGCCCUACAUCAUCUUGGUAUCGCGAGCCACGUUGAUCACGUUUUUGGAGCCCCUACCCCGUGUUUUCUUGCUUGAGUUUGUUGUUUUCGUCCUAAAUCCGAAAAUCCCCACCAAAAAUAGCCCCAAAUUCUUUUUUGUGAUUUGUUGGUGUUGAAGUUUUGUUGGAUUUGACCCAUGGAUCUGCUUUGCUUUGAGUUGAUCUAGCUUUUCCCCAUCUCUCCUGCGAUUUCCAUCCACCAAUUUGUCUGAAUUUUGCCCCGGAGUUGCAAUUUUCCCGUGGAGUUCAUCGUGUUCAUCCCCGAUCCAGAGCCCGGACAUCCGCCCCGUGUACCCUGGACAUCCGGCACCCUGGACAUCUGGCAGCUGGCCCGGACAUCCGGCCCCUAGGAGCAGCAACUCCAUCCCCCGCGCCCAUUUCCCCAUACUUUCGCCCAAUUUUGCCCCGGUGCCCACGCUUACUUACGCAUACCCCAACACUUUCCAAACAUACCACCACCGCUCACCGCUACCCCCCUAUGUCGAUUUUGACACAUUUUAGUCUUUGAGAUUUUGAGUUGUGGUUCCCGUGUCCUAUUGUGUUUCGGCUAUAUAGGUACGGUUCGACGUCACCAUCACCUCCGCUCAUCUCCACCAACUACUCAACAUCACCAAGGACGGUAACUUUGACGACAUCUUUGUCACACCUUGCAAUUGCAUUGAUGCCCCACAUGGCCUUACCGAUCGAGACUAGCCAUUGAGUAUUGCCGGCAACGUGACUUGUGCACAUUAGUGAUCAUACUCCAUAGCAUACAUACCAUACCACCGUGGUGCAUAUCUUGGAAUCAACUUGUGUGUCACAAAGUUGUCAUAGCAUAUGCAAUUGCUAUCUUGGUUCGUGAAGUUUUGCAUGAGAAAAGAGAUAAAAAGUGAAAGAGCCACCCAAGCUUUUAAGCAAAGAGCUUAUAAGCAAGAACCAUAGCAUCAUACUACAUUAAGAUUGUCAUAAAAGAUCAUCUUGGAUCAUAGCACCGAAAUACCAUACAUAAAGCAUAUUUGGGAUAGAGAUCGUUGCAUUUUUGCCCAGUAGGUUGCGCACAAGCUCCCUAUACGCCUAUUGUGCAAUCGUGCUAGCGUCUCUCUAGUAUUGUGCAACAAGAGCAUUUUCGUGGAUUCCACAUUUUGGCUCACUUUUGGUUUGCACAAUCCCAUUUAUCUAUUUGCGUGUGUGUUUCCGUGUACCCCUACUUGCUUGGUCUACUUGUUGCAUUUGCAAAUUUGUGAAUCUUUUCCAACAUUAUUGAAUCUCACUUUCAAUCAUCAAAUUUUGUGCCACCAUCCUAACCAAGCUCCACCAUAAGCUUUUACUUGUGUAGGUGUGAGAACCAACAAGAAUUGGUACCAAUAGUGCUAUUUCAUUGUCCGCAUUUGAGUGAACUUGAUUCAUCAUCAACAUCGGUCAAGGUACAUUGGUAUAAGUGCUUCUCCUUCUACCACUCACAUUUUGCUUGGAAUGAUGGAUAGGCCGAGUACUUCUACCAACCCACUCUUCAUCGAGCAAGACGACGACAAGUCAACAUACGUCACCAAGAGCCACCUCUUUGGUGCACAACGAGCAUUGCAUCAAGAGCAACAAGCAAGGAACGACCGCAUCGACAACCUCGCCACCGACUUGCGACUCUUAGAGCAACGUACAAGAGACUACUUCGACAACAAGCUCGACGCGCACAAGCAAGAAAAUGAUGCAAGAAUGGACGAGAUACGCGCCUUGUUGGUGAACCGGCCUCCUUCUACAUCGUCAUACUCAAGACAGAGCCACUCAAGUCGACACUCCGACGACUCCUUCUCUAGCUCAAGUACACCGUCAUCGAACACUCUUCGACGAGCCGCGCGUCAAGACCGUCAUGCAUCUCGCAAACCGCUACACGUCAAGAAUUCACAAGAACAAGUCGAUGAGCAAGCCCAUCAUCCUCAAUCAAAUCAGUUGCUUUUGCCCAAGCUCAAGAAUGACAAUGUCUUCGUCGCCAAGAAGUAGAAGAACGAGCACGUCUACACCAAGAGCAACAAGACGCCGAGGCUCAACGUCUUCAACAACAACUACGUGAAGUGCAAGCUCUUGAGGCGCAACGUGCCCUUCAAGAAUCAAGUCGAGCCAUCGCCAACCGCACUCGCGAAUGGCGCAAUCAAGAGGAAGCCCUUCGAGAUGAAAUCCAAGAGAGGAACUACCAACCGCGCGUGCAACAGCAAGUUCCCCAAGCUCCUCCACAAGCUCGUCAAGCUCCACCUCGACCUCAAGUUCAACAACAGCAAGUUGAUCAUGGACUUCCUCCAUGCCAAGAGCAACAUGAGGAUGAUUACCAUCCACGUCAAGGGCGUCAUCAUCACCAUCGCCAACAACACAAUGAAGAGAAACGCUAUGUCAAGCUCAAAUUCACAAUGCCCAAGUUCAAUAGAAGCAAUGAUCCCGAAGAAUACCUCUCAUGGGAAUUGAAGGUCGACAAAAUCUUUCAUUUGCACAACUAUGAGGAAGAGAAGAAGAUCUAUAUGGCAUCACUUGAGUUCCAAGACUAUGUGCUCAUAUGGUGGGAACAAGUCCUUGAGCGCCGACAAGCAAGAGGUGAACCUCCAAUCACCACUUGGGCUCAAAUGAAGGAUGUCAUGCGAGCACGUUUUGUGCCAACCUACUACAACCACGAUCUCUUCAAGAUGCUACAACUCCUCAAGCAAGGAACAAAGAGUAUUGAAGAAUACUACAAGGAAAUGGAGAUUGCCAUGAUUCGAGCCAAUGUCACGGAGGAUGAUGAGCAAACUAUGGCACGAUUCUUGAAUAGACUCAAUCAUCCCGUCAAGAAGAUCGCCGACUUCCAACCCUACUCCAACCUCAUUGAGCUCGUGCAUCAAGCUACAAAGGCGGAACGUCAAGUGCAGGAUGACUUCAAGUACGCCAAGUACUUAUCCAAGACCUACGGUUUCUCCAAUAACCAAGCUUCAACAACUACUCCAACUUCGACAUCAACCAAGCCUUCUCCAAGCAACGACAACAAGACAAGUUACAAGAAAACUUCGGCAAGUUCAAGUCGUCUUCCUCCUACUACAAGCAACUUCAAACCGCGUGCUUCAUCAUCUACUCCGACCGAUCAGACCAUCAAGACAAGCUCCUUCAAGUGUUUCACUUGCGGCGGCCGAGGCCACAAGUCCUAUGAAUGCACAAACAAGCGCACCAUGAUCCUCAACAACGAUGGCACAUAUGACUCCAUGAGUGAUGACGAGAUGGAAGCUCUUGAUCAAGUGGCCAUGCACCGGCGCGUGAACGAGGAUGAAGAUGAUCAAGUCUUUUGUGAUGAAGAUACGAGCCCCGCUCUUGUUGUCUCCAAGGUCUUGACUCUUCAACAUCAACAAGAAGAAGACCAACGAUACCAUAUCUUCCACACCAAGGCCGGCAUCAAUGGAAGGUCCGUCAAGGUCAUCAUCGAUGGAGGUAGUUGCCACAACUUGGCAAGUGAAGAACUAUGCUCCAAGCUUCAAUUGGUAAAGAGGAAGCACCCGCACCCCUACAAGGUUCAAUGGCUAAGUGACUCCGGCACUAUCCGAGUUGAGCAUACGGUCCAAGUAUCCUUCAAAAUUGGUGCAUAUGAAGACACUUUGGAGUGUGAUGUGGUCCCCAUGACCGUUUGCCACCUCCUCCUUGGUAGGCCAUGGCAAUUCUACCGUGGUGUCAUCCACAACGGGCGCACCAAUCACUAUAGCUUCAAGAUGAAAGGGAAGGAAUAUGUGCUACGACCUAUGUAUCCUAGUCAAGUGAUAGCCGACAAGCAAGCCACCCAUCAUGGAGAGAAGAGUGAGAAAGUAAUCCACCCAAAAGUGAGUGAGAGCCACAAGCCAAACUUGAGCGCCUCUUCUCCUAGAGAGAAAAACUUAGUCCUAUUUGCCACAAAAAGUGAGAUGAGAGAAGUGUGUGAGAACCCAUCGAGUGUGAUGCACUUUGUCCUUGUGUGCAAGGACGGGGAACCACAAACUAACACCUCUCACGAGCUACCUUUAGUGUUUCAAUCUCUUUUGCAGGAAUUCCAAGAUGUUUUCCCUGAUGAGCUACCUCCGGGUCUACCUCCCCUACGAGGCAUCGAGCAUCGAAUCGACCUCAUCCCCAGAGCGCCACUUCCAAACAAAGCCCCAUAUCCUGUCAAUCCCGAAGAAACCAAGGAGAUUCAACGGCAAGUACAACAACUAAUCAACAACGGUCAUGUACGUGAAAGCUUAAGCCCUUGUGCCGUUCCGGUUAUACUUGUGCCUAAGCCCGAUGGAAGUUUCUGCUUGUGUUCCGAUUGUAGACCUAUAAAUGCUAUUACCGUUCAAUAUAGGCAUCCAAUUCCUCGCUUAGAUGAUAUGCUUGAUGAACUUAGUGGAGCCAACUUUUUCUCCAAAAUUGAUCUUAAAAGUGGCUAUUAUAAAAUCCGCAUUCAAGAGGGUGAUGAGUGGAAAACUGCUUUCAAAACCAAAUUUGGCUUAUAUGAGUGGUUAGUUAUGCCUAUGGGUUUAUCGGAGGCUCCCGGUACUUUCGUGCGUCUCAUGCAUUAUGUGCUUCGCCCUUAUAUUGGAGUCUUUGUUGUGGUUUACUUCGAUGAUAUUCUUGUGUUUAGCAAAACCAUGAAAGAACAUCUUAAUCAUGUUAGGGUUGUUUUACAAACCCUUCGCAAGGAAAGUCUUUAUGCAAACAUGAAAAAGUGCACAUUUGGUGUUGACAAAGUGGUUUUCUUGGGUUUUGUUGUAUCUUCCAAGGGUGUCCAUGUUGAUGAAUCUAAAAUUGAAGCAAUUAAAACUUGGCCCCAACCCACCAAUUUGCAACAAGUGCGUAGUUUUCUUGGUCUAGCAGGUUUUUAUCGUCGCUUUGUCAAAGAUUUUAGCACUAUUGCCGCUCCUUUGCAUGCCUUGAGUAAGAAGAAUGCUCCUUUUGUUUGGGGAUCUUUGCAAUCCACCGCUUUUGAUGAGCUCAAGUCUUUGCUUACAUGUGCUCUGAUUCUUGCUUUACCCAAUUUUGACAAAACUUUUGAGGUUCAUUGUGAUGCAAGCAGUACCAGAAUUGGCGGAGUUUUGAUGCAAGAAAAAUGAGCCAUUGCAUAUUUUAGUGAAAAACUCUCCGGUGUUCAACUUAACUAUCCCAUCUAUGACAAAGGAUUUUAUGCUUUAGUGCGUGUGCUACAUGUUUGGGAAUAUUAUCUUAGACCUCAUGAGUUUGUCAUUCAUACCGAUCAUGAAACGCUUAAGUACUUAAAAGGUCAAACUAAGUUAAACAAGCGUCAUGCCAAAUGGAGUGAAUUUAUUGAAUCUUUCCCCUAUGUGAUCAAGUACAUUAAGGGUAAGGAAAAUGUAGUUGCGGAUGAACUUUCACGCAUAUGCACGCUUGUCACUAAACUUGAGUUGAAUACUAUUGGCUCUGAGCACAUAAAAGACUUGUAUGCUAAUGAUCCAUCUUUUACGACUCCUUAUGCUAAAUGUUUGAUGCAUACAUCUUGGGAGCAAUAUUACAUCAAGGAUGGUUAUCUUAUGAGAGCUAACAAACUAUGCAUUCCCGAGUCUUCUCUUCGUUUGCUCCUUUUGCAAGAGGCUCAUGGAGGCGGACUCAUGGGACACUUCAGACGCGACAAGACAUUCACCACACUCUCCAAUAACUACUUUUGGCCCAAGAUAUUCUGUGACGUCUCAUGCUUCACCACCCGAUGCUCUACAUGUCGCAAAGCUAAGUCUAAAGCUCAAUCCCAUGGUCUUUACAUGCCUCUUACUAUUCCUUAUCAACCUUGGGAAGACAUUAGCAUGGAUUUUGUACUUGGUUUGCCUAGAACUCAAAAUGGCAAAGAUUCCGUGUUUGUUGUUGUGGACUGAUUUUCUAAGAUGGCACAUUUCAUCCGUUGCAACAAGAUAGACGAUGCUUCACACGUAGAAAAUCUCUUUUGUAGGGAAAUCUUGCGUCUCCAUGGAGUACCAAAGACAAUCGUCUCCGACCACGACGUCAAGUUCUUGAGUUACUUUUGGAAGACCCUAUGCGCCAAGCUCGGAAUCAAGCUCUUGUUCUCAUCCGCAUAUCAUCCUCAAACCGACGGCCAAACGGAGGUGACGAACCGUACACUCUCCACUCUACUUCGCGUGUUGAUCAAGAAGAACAUCAAGGAGUGGGAGGAGUGUCUACCCAUCGCCGAGUAUGUGAUAGAGGCAAAGGUGUCCCGUCUUUCGAUGAGAUGAUGGAUAUCGCUUUGGUGGAAGUCGACUUUGAUGAUCCGACUACGAACGUGCGAGGACGUCGUGCCUUAGCAAUCGCUAAACCAACUCCGAGAGGUUACUGACCACGCCGGAGCACGAUCAACCUGACCACGAAGGUCUAUUUCCUGCAGGCAAAUGAAGAACAAGCAAGAAACUAAGAUUGCAAUCUGGAUAUUGCGAAUAUAAGAGGAAAGCUUUAUUGAUCAAGGUGGGGUUCUGUGACGCCUUUGUCUGGUCGUUGAACACAAAUGAUGUACGCGAAGUUGCAGCUACGGCGAGCUUUUAAUCUAAACAAAACCCAAAGUCUAAACGGCGCCCUAAGGGUUGUAUAUAUGGAGGAAGAGGGGGUGAAUUUCGUGGCCCUUGGUGGAGGGGUCCGAAACUAACCCUAUCUCAUAUUUCCCCACACAUACGGACUAUAAAAAUAGCCUAUACUUAUGUAUUUCGAAAUUACAUGGGCCUGACCCAAUAAUAAGGUGACGCAACACCUAGAAUAGCCUCUGGACGAAAUUUAUGAAGUGGCAUCUUGUAUAUUUCGUGCAAGGCUUCAUGCACUCAUUAUGGUGGCUUCAAAGUCCUGAAAUCAUCACUUGUAACUCCGUUCUUGUUCCCCUUGCGCAUGCCAUCAUCUCCAUGCUUGUUCUUGCUCCAAUGUUCAUCCUUCUCCAAGCUAGGCCCUUCAUUUGUAAGCAAAACAAAUGUAUCCAAUUUAGGCAGCAUCAUAUUCUCAUGAACAUUAGAAUCAUUACCAAGAAACGAAAGUACCUGGUAAUUUAGUUGGCGUGCGCGAGCUCUAGUAAUUGGUCCAGUAUAUGUAGCAGUAGGAGUUGUGGGUGUAACAAUGGUAUUGAUGUCGUCAUCAUCCUCCCCUUCUUGAAAUGAAGUCGUCCUCGACGGAAGCUCAUCUUCCUCACCCAAAUAAGGCUUCAAAUAUGCAAUGUUAAAAGUGGGACUAACCCCAAAAUCUGCAGGCAGCUCAAGUUUAUAUGCAUUAUCAUUUAUUUUCUCCAACACCUUAAAAGGACCAUCAACACGUGGCAUUAACUUUGAUUUGCGCAAAUUAGGAAAACUUUCCUUACGCAAAUGUAACCAAACAAGAUCUCCAGGUGCAAACACAAGAUGUUUUCUACCCUUAUCUCCAGCAAGUUUAUAUUUAGCAUUCAUACGCUCAAUGUUUUUUAGUUAACUCAUGCAUUUUUAAAAUCAAUUCGGCACGUUGUUUAGCAUAAAAAUUAACCUUCUCCGAAGAUGGAACAGGCAACAAAUCAAUAGGUGCACGAGGUAGGAAACCAUACACAAUUUCAAAAGGGCACAUCUUAGUAGUAGAAUGCAAUGAACGAUUAUAAGCAAAUUCAAUAUGAGGCGAGCAUUCUUCCCACAUUUUCCUAUUAUUCUUCAAAGCAGCCCUAAGCAUAGUAGACAAUGUUCUAUUGACUACUUCAGUUUGUCCAUCAGUUUGGGGGUGACAAGUAGUACUAAAAUGCAGUUUAGUCCCCAAUAUAGCCCAUAAACAUCUCCAAAAGUGGCUAAGAAAUUUAGUAUCACGAUCUGAAACAAUAGUAUUGGGCACACCAUGCAAGCGAAUAAUUUCACGAAAGAACAAAUCAGCAACAUUAACGCCAUCAUCGCUUUUAUGACAUGGUAUAAAGUGUGCCAUUUUCGAGAAUCUAUCCACGACAACAAAUAUGCUAUCCCUCCCCUUCUUUGUUCGAGGUAAACCUAAAACAAAGUCCAUAGAUAUAUCCUCCCAAGGAACACUAGGUACGGGCAAAGGCAUAUAUAAACCAUGAGGAUUGAGUCAUGACUUAGCUUUUUGACAUGUAGUGCAGCGAGCAAUAAAAAGCUCAACAUCCCGUCUCAUCUUUGGCCAAAAGAAAUGUGUAGCAAGUACGUCCUCCGUCUUCUUCACGCCAAAGUGUUCCAUUAAUCCCCCUCCAUGCGCCUCCUGCAACAACAAAAGACGAAUAGAGCUAGCUGGAAUGCAUAGCUUGUUAGUACGAAACACAAAUCCAUCAUUAACGAUGAACUUGUUCCAUGUUCUCCCUUCUUUACAAUUCUGCAAUACAUCUUUAAAAUCAGCAUCAUGCACAUAUUGAUCUUUGAUGGUCUCCAAACCAAAUAUUUUGAAGUCAAGUUGUGAAAGCAUAGUAUAGAGACGAGACAAUGCAUCAGCAAUAACAUUUUCUUUACCCUUCUUGUGUUUAAUAACAUAAGGGAAAGUCUCAAUGAAUUCAACCCAUUUAGCAUGUCUAUGAUUCAGUUUAGCUUGACUUUUAAUAUGUUUCAAAGAUUCAUGGUCAGAAUGUAUAACAAAUUCUUUGGGCCAUAAAUAAUGUUGCCAUGUCUCUAAAGUCCGAACAAGAGCAUAUAAUUCUUUAUCAUAAGUAAAAUAAUUCAGACUAGGCCCACUCAAUUUUUCAGAAAAGUAUGCAACAGGUUUGCCAUCUUGUAAUAACACACCUCCUAAUCCAAUUCCGCUAGCAUCAUAUUCAAGCUCAAAAGUCUUAUUAAAAUCAGGAAGUUGGAGUAAAGGAGCAUGUGUCAACUUAUCUUUCAACACCGUGAAGGAUUCUUCCUGUGCGGUACCCCAAACAAAAGGCACAUCCUUCUUUGUAAGCUCAUUGAGAGGUGCAUCAAUGGUGCUGAAAUCUCUCACAAAACGCCUAUAGAAUCCAGCGAGGCCAAGAAAACUCCUCACUUGUGUGACCGUUUUGGGCUGCGGCCAAAUCUCAAUAGCUUCAAUCUUGGCUUUAUCAACUUCAAUUCCCUAUGGAGUAACAACAUAGCCAAGAAAAGACACUCGGUCGGUGCAAAAGGUGCACUUCCCAAGGUUACCAAACAAACGUGCAUCACAUAGAGCAAUAAAAAUAGCACGUAAAUGUUCCAAAUGUUCCUCCAAAGAUCUGCUAUAAAUCAAUAUGUCAUCAAAGUAAACUACCACAAAUCGUCCAAUGAAAGCACGUAAAACUUCGUUCAUUAAUCUCAUGAAAGUACUAGGUGUAUUAGUUAACCCAAAAGGCAUGACUAACCACUCAUAUAAUCCAAACUUAGUUUUAAAUGUUGUUUUCCAUUCAUCCCCCAAUUUCAUAUGAAUUUGAUGGUAUCCACUAUGCAAAUCAACUUUAGAGAAUAUUGUAGAGCCACUCAAUUCAUCAAACAUAUCAUCUAGCCUAGGAAUAGGAUGACGAUAACGAAUAGUAAUAUUAUUAAUGCCUCUACAAUCAACACACAUACACGAUGUACCAUCCUUUUUCGGCACUAGAAUAAUAGGAAUAGCACAAGGACUAAGGGAUUCGCGUAUAUAACCUUUGUCGAGAAGCUCUUGUAUUUGACGCAUAAUCUCCUUCGUCUCCUCUGGAUUGGUACGGUAUGGCGCACGAUUUGGCAGUGAAGCACCGGGAAUUAAGUCAAUCUAAUGCUCAAUCCCUCGAAUAGGCGGUAAUCCCGGUGGCACGUCUUGUGGAAAGACGUCAGCGAACUCCUGCAAAAUGUUAGUGACAGCAGGUGGCAAAGAGGAAGGCGCGUCCUCGAAUGAAAAUAAUGCCUCUUUGCACACAAAAGCAUAGCAAACAGAUUUGCUGAAAUCUAGCUCAUCAAUAUCAGAUUUGGUGGCAAAUAAACAUGCACUUUUCAAUUUAAUUUUAGAAGCAACACUAGAUGGUUUAUUAUUAGGCUUCAUUUGUUGCGCAAAUUCUUUUGCCACAAUCUGAUUUUCACUCUUAUUUUGCUCCUGUUUUGCUUUAUUAGCUCUAUUAAUAUCAUCUUUCAAAAUGGAAUAAAGAGUCAUAGGAAGCAAAGUAAUAUUUUUAUCCUUAAGAACAAGAGUAUACUGAUUAUUUCUACCAUGGUGUACAGAAUUUUUAUCUAAUUGCCAUGGUCUACCAAGUAAUAAGGAACAUGCUUGCAUAGGUACCACAUCACAAUCAACAUAAUCAGCAUAUGUAGAGAUACUAAAAUGCACACGAACAGUACGUGUUACCUUAACCUUGCUGCUAUUGUUGAACCAUUGGAUGUAGUAAGGAUGUGGAUGUGGUCUUGUGGUGAGGGAGAGCUUCUCCACCAUCUCCAUGCUAGCCAAGUUGUUGCAGCUCCCUCUGUCUAUGAUGACGCACACAGAACGUUCCUUCACAACUCUCUUUAUAUGGAACAAAUUAUGCCUCUGAUUUUGCUCAGCUUGUGUGACCUGCACACUCAAAACACGUUGAGCAACUAAACAUUCAUACCUGUCAGCGUCUUCAGGAGCCAUGUAUUCCAUCUCAUGAUCAGAAUCAUCUCCACCAUGUUCUUCACGUGUAAUAAGAGCCAACGUCUCCGCAUCAUAGUCACUAGCGGACUCAUACCCACCAUCCUCAAUAGCAAUCAUCACACGCUGAGAUUUGCAUUCUCUCGCAUAAUGACCUCUUCCCUUACAACGACGACAAAUAAUAUCACUUGUGUGGCUAGUGGAUGCCAUGGACGAAGAUGAGCUCUGUGUUGGCCCGGCAGGUGCGCUCUUGGCAGAUAGUGGUGGUUGUGCCUGCUUUCUUGUAUCAUGGCUGGAGGUGGCACCUAAUGGAGGUGUUGGUGCAGUGGAAGUAGAAGAUGCACGCGGUGUCCAUGAUGAAAGUCGACCUGCAGAAAAGUUAGUUCGCGCCAAUGCUUGUCGAUCCUGCACUUCACGUUCAGCUUUACAAGCAAGAUGGAAUAAACGAGUGAUAUUAGUAUACUCCUUAUACUCUAGAAUGGUCUGCAUCUCUCUAUUUAAUCCACCCAUAAAACGUGCAAGCAUAGCUUCAUUCUCGUCAAUAAUACCACAUCUAAUUAUGCCAGUUUGUAAUUCCUGAUAAUAUUCUUCUACAAAAAAAUUUCCUUGUCUUAAACACUGUAAUUUUUGAAGCAAUUCACGUUGAUAAUAUGGUGGAACCCAACGAGUACGCAUAGCAGUUUUCAAAGCAGCCCAAGUAGUUGGAAUAGGAUAUAAUCUACAAUGUUCAGACCACCAUACACAUGCAAAACUAGUGAAAGCACAAACAACAGCAGCAACCCGUCUCUCCUCGGGAUAUUGUAAACAUGUAGAACGUUGUUCAGUUUCUAACUCCCAAGUAAGAUAUAUAUCAGGAACAUAUCUACCCUCAAAUGGUGGAAUAUUCAAUUUCAGUUUCGGAAUAUGGUCAUUAUCUCGUACCUGAGGUGGUGGUGCAGGCCUACCGUUGCGAAUAUAUACCUGAGGUCGACCUACUGGUGGUGGUGCUGGUGGCUGCACGUAGUUCUUAUUUUGAUCAACCUCAUCCUCGUAAUAGUCCUCCACCUCUGCAGUAACAGCGGGAGCUACAGAAACACUAACAGCAGUAGCAGCGGCACCAGAAUUUUGUCCUGGCUCAAUAGGAACACGCUGUGCUCUCCCUACUGUAUCGCGGCGUAGAUCUGGUUGUGGGAGACGUUUGAGUAAUUCAUCAAACUUGGCGUCCAACUUCGUGUCAAUUGACUUCUCAAUGUCAUCCAUCUUCUCCAUUGCCUUUCCAAAGCUGGCCAUCACGUCUUCCACCUGUUGACCCAAUAUUUGAUGGAACUUAUCAUGAAGCUCCUUGUUCGUCAUGUUCUCCCAGUCAAUCUCAUCAACUUGUGUUCCUGCCAUAGUUAGCAACAAUAGAAACAGACAAGAAUAUGAUCCUAUAGACUACUGGAAUAUGGUGGUGGUGGGGUGUCACAAAUUCGUCAAGCGAAACUCAAAUUCUUACCAGUUCUUAUCCAGCAGUAGGCGGUGAUCGGCAACCGUUGUAGUCAAAACUCUCAAAGCUUGGAUAGAGCGAUUACCAAGGAUUGUCAAACACACGACGUAGAUGUAUGUGGAGCUGGGAAGGCUAUAAUUUGGUAGCAAAAAGGAUCAACAAUAAUCAAUUCAGAGAUGCAAAGUUGAAUAAAUGCUCAACGACGGUACUGUGCUGGUCCCUGGCUAGACCGUGCUAGAAACGCGAGCCUAGAACACUAACAAAAUCACGGCGCUGCACUUAAACAAGCGAAAAGCACACUCUGGAAUUUUUUUCGCUCUUUUUUUUGCGCUGCUUUUUUUUUGCGGAAAAUCACUAUAAUGGCGAGUGUCUCAAAACUCUUCCCAGGUCAAACUGACAAGAUGGGCACGAAAUUUUUUGACAAUUUUUUUUCGGAAAUUAGGGCAGCGACGACGAAAAAGUGCGACAAAAAAUCACUAUGAUGGCGAAUGUCUCAAAACACUCUUGGGGACCUAAAAAUAGGAUAGGGAAAAAAUAUUUUCGGUCGCCGAAAUUUUGGCGUAAAAACUGCCCGGGGGUCUCCAGACUCUUUUUUUUGAAACCUACUCAGGCAAGGAAACACGAAUCGGAAAUUAGAUGGAUCUUGGAAACAAACCUACUACGAAAAGAACUCGGAUUGAUGGUGGAUAUAUGGUGGUAGGAUAUGGCAACGGUGGUGGUAUAUGAUAGCGGUGGUGGUAUAUGGAUAUGGAUAGGUGGGAUAUGGCAGCGGUGGUGGUAUAUGGCAGCGGUGGUGGUAUAAGGCAGCGGUGGUGGGAUAUGGCAGCGGUGGUAGUAUAUAGCAACAACGAUGUAGAUGGUGCGGCGGCUGCGUGACAAACUGUGACAGAACUCGAAACUCUAAAGGACUAGACGCUAAGACCAGCAAUUAGACACGAUGAUGCAACAGCAAAUUCAACAAAGCAAAACCCUAAAAAGAUUAUGCAAAGGCUCAGAUUGGUUCGGAUAUGAUGAACUAACCCUAAUUUUUUUUGUGGCUUUUCGUGGACUGUAGGUAUGAAGAACCGACUCGAUCUAAACUACGAAAAACUGUAAAAUCUCAUCGUGCAACCUGUAAAUCUGAUACCACUUGAUAGUGGCAAAGGUGUCCCGUCUUUCGAUGAGAUGAUGGAUAUCGCUUUGGUGGAAGUCGACUUUGACGAUCCGACUACGAACGUGCGAGGACGUCGCGCUUUAGCAAUCGCUAAACCAACUCCGACAGGUUAUUGACCACGCCGGAGCAUGAUCAACCUGACCACGAUGGUCUGUUUCCUGCAGGCAAACGAAGAACAAGCAAGAAACUAAGAUUGCAAUCUGUGUAUUGCGACUAUAAGAGGAAAGCUUUAUUGAUCAAGGUGGGGUUCUGUGACGCCUUUGUCUGGUCGUUGAACACAAACGAAGUACGCGAAGUUGCAGCUAUGGUGAACUUUUAAUCUAAAAAAAACCCAAAGUCUAAACGGUGCCCUAAGGGUUGUAUAUAUGGAGGAAGAGGGGGUGAAUUUCGUGGCCCUUGGUGGAGGGCUCCGAAACUAACCCUAUCUCUUGUUUCCCACACAUAUGGACUCUAAAAAUAGCCUAUACUUAUGUAUUUCGAAAUUACAUGGGCCUGACGCAAUAAUAAGGUGACGCAGCACCUAGAAUAGCCUCUGGACGAAAUUUAUGAAGUGGCAUCUUGUAUAUUUCGUCCAAGGCUUCAUGCACUCGUUAUGGUGGCUCCAAAGUCCUGAAAUCAUCGCUUGUAACUCCGUUCUUGUUCCCCUUAUGCAUGUCAUCAUCUCCAUGCUUCCCCAAUGAACGCAAGUCCAAGCUUCUCCCUCGAGCCGGCGAACCCUUCAAGGUGCUAGCAUGCUACAACAACAAUGCUUACAAGAUCGAUCUGCCACGCGACAAGUACAACGUGAGCGACAUCUUCAACGUCUCCGAUCUCUCCCCGUACCAUGGUGAUGAGGAUUUUGAUCCAAGGUCGGAUCUUUCCCAAGGGGGGGGAGAUGAUACAGAGCAUCCUUCGGUCAUCCCCAUGGACCUUCCAUCGCCUCACCAAGCCCCAAGAGGACCCAUGACUAGAGCACGUGCUAGAGCUCUCGAGACCGAGGUGACUUCUCUCCUUAAUGAUAUCUCAUAUGAUCCUCUCGAGACAUGGCUACUACCUCAAUCCGGAAUGUUGUGCAUGAUUAGGUACCAAGAGGACCCUCCUGAGGAUGCACAUGAAGAUGGUCAAGAUCCCAAGUCCAUGGAAGAAGAGAACCAAUGGAAGAAGGCAAGAUCGGCCUCCAGGCACCGGACAUCCGGCCAGGACCCCAAACAUCCGGCCCCUGGAGAUCCAUAAGGCCAGGCCUCUGCAGAAGAAGCUACAGGGACCGGACAUCUGGCAUCCAUCCCAGACAUCGGGCCCCCACCGGAAAUCCGGCCUAAAUCCCGGAUGUCCGGCACUGGCGUCCAAGGAGCACAAAAGCUUGCCCCAACAGCCCGGACAUCCGGCGUUCGCCCCGGACAUCCGGCGCCUCCCGAAGCCGCGGACAUCCGGCCCCUCUGAGCGGACAUCCGGCGUCACCCAUCCAGUGAACAGAAGAGUCAACUCCACUGGCCCAGACAUCCGACCCCUCCAGUCCGCACAUCCGGCACCUCGUGAGUGCCUGGACAUCCGGCCCGUCGCUCGGACAUCCGGCACCCUCUGCCUGCGCGCAGUUCCUUUGGUCCGUGACCCAUGUACCCCUUCGCCCUUUGACUAUAUAUACUCCCUCAUCCUGUACGUUUUAGGGUUAGCAUUGGUUUAGCUCAUAUUUUGUGUGAGAGCCUUGCUCAUCCACUUGGUUACUUCUCCUUGGAGCUCAUGACCUCUUUGGGGAAGAUCCCCCAAGCGGAUUCAAGACCCCUUCAAGGGAAGACAAUCAAGAUCUCCUCAUGGAGAAGAACGGCUACCUUUGUAUCUUUCCUUUGUUGAUUUUGAAUCUUGUGCUACCUCAUGUGUUCGGUGAUCUAGCCCUUGUGUGAUCGAUACUUGUUGGUUGAGUGAUUCUCUCGUUCCUCCCCGUGUUUUCCCCUUUGUGUUUUCCGCGCGUUCUUCGUGUUUCCCCGUAGGAUCCACUCCAAACGUGAAAGAUCGCCCCCCUAGGGUUCCGCCCUACAUCACUAUAAGUAUGAAGAACAGACUCGAUCUAAACUACGAAAAAAUGUGAAAUCUCACCGAGCAACCUGGAAAUCUGAUACCACUUGAUAGAGGCAAAGGUGUCCCGUCUUUUGAUGAGAUGAUGGAUAUCGCUUUGGUGGAAGUCAACAUUGAUGAUCCGACUACAAACUUGCGAGGACGUCGCGCCUUUGCAAUCGCUAAACCACCUCCGAGAGGUUAUUGACCAUGCCGGAGAACAAUCAACCUGACCACGAGAGUCUGUUUCCUGCGAGCAAACAAAGAACAAGCAACAAACUGAGAUUGCAAUCUGGAUAUUGCGAAUAUAAGAUGAAAGCUUUAUUGAUCAAGGUGGGGUUCUGUGAUGCCUUUGUCUGGUCUUUGAACACAAACGAAAUACGCGAAGUCGCAGCUAUGGCGAACUGUUAAUCUAAACAAAACCCAAAGUCUAAAUGAUGCCUUAAGGGCUGUAUAUAUGGAGGAAGAGGGGGGAAUUUCGUGGCCCUUGGGGAAGGGGUCCGAAACCAACCCUAUCUCUUGUUUCCCCACACAUACGGACUCUAAAAACAGUCUGUACUCAAGUAUUUCGAAAAUACAUGGGCCUGGUCCAAUAAUAAGGUGACGCAACACCUAGAAUAGCCUCUGGACGAAAGUUAUGAAGUAGCAUAUUAUAUAUUUCGUCCAAGGCUUCAUGCACUCAUUAUGGUGGCUUCAACGUCCUGAAAUCAUCAUCUGUAACUCCGUUCUUGUUCCCCUUGCGCAUGCCAUCAUCUCCAUGCUUGUUCUUGCUCCAAUGUUCAUCCUUCUCCAAGCUAGGCCCUUCAUUUGUAAGCAAAACAAAUGUAUCCAAUUUAGGCAGCAUCAUAUUCUCAUGAACAUUAGAAUCAUUACCAAGAAACGAAAGUACCUGAUAAUUUAAUUUGCGUGCGCGAGCUCUAGUAAUUGGUCCAGUAUAUGUAGCAGUAGGGGCUGUGGGUGUAACAAUGGUAUUGAUGUCCUCAUCAGUACGCCUACAACCGUGCAAGACAUUCGACGACCGGCAAGUCCCCCUUCGAGGUCGUCUACGGCUUCAACCCGUUGUCCCCAUUGGACAUUCUACUUCUUCCUCUACAAGAGUGCACCAACCUCGACGCAAGUGCCCGUGUAAGCUACAUCAAGAAGAUGCAUGAAGAUACAAGGCACACGAUCGAGCGCCAAGUACAACGACUCGCGGCCAAGAUCAACGUCAACAAGCAUCCCAUGAUAUUCAACAUUGGAGACCUCGUGUGGCUACAACUUUGCAAGGACCGCUUCCCCAAUGAACGCAAGUCCAAGCUUCUCCCUCGAGCCGGCGAACCCUUCAAGGUGCUAGCAUGCUACAACAACAAUGCUUACAAGAUCGAUCUGCCACGCGACAAGUACAACGUGAGCGACAUCUUCAACGUCUCCGAUCUCUCCCCGUACCAUGGUGAUGAGGAUUUUGAUCCAAGGUCGGAUCUUUCCCAAGGGGGGGGGGGAGAUGAUACAGAGCAUCCUUCGGUCAUCCCCAUGGACCUUCCAUCGCCUCACCAAGCCCCAAGAGGACCCAUGACUAGAGCACGUGCUAGAGCUCUCGAGACCGAGGUGACUUCUCUCCUUAAUGAUAUCUCAUAUGAUCCUCUCGAGACAUGGCUACUACCUCAAUCCGGAAUGUUGUGCAUGAUUAGGUACCAAGAGGACCCUCCCGAGGAUGCACAUGAAGAUGGUCAAGAUCCCAAGUCCAUGGAAGAAGAGAACGAAUGGAAGAAGGCAAGAUCGGCCUCCAGGCACCGGACAUCCGGCCAGGACCCCAAACAUCCGGCCCCUGGAGAUCCAUAAGGCCAGGCCUCUGCAGAAGAAGCUACAGGGACCGGACAUCUGGCAUCCAUCCCAGACAUCGGGCCCCCACCGGAAAUCCGGCCUAAAUCCCGGAUGUCCGGCACUGGCGUCUAAGGAGCACAAAAGCUUGCCCCAACAGCCCGGACAUCCGGCGUUCGCCCCGGACAUCCGGCGCCUCCCGAAGCCGCGGACAUCCGGCCCCUCUGAGCGGACAUCCGGCGUCACCCAUCCAGUGAACAGAAGAGUCAACUCCACUGGCCCAGACAUCCGACCCCUCCAGUCCGCACAUCCGGCACCUCAUGAGUGCCUGGACAUCCGGCCCGUCGCCCGGACAUCCGGCACCCUCUGCCUGCGCGCAGCUCCUUUGGUCCGUGACCCAUGUACCCCUUCGCCCUUUGACUAUAUAUACUCCCUCAUCCCGUACGUUUUAGGGUUAGCAUUGGUUUCGCUCAUAUUUUGUGUGAGAGCCUUGCUCAUCCACUUGGUUACUUCUCCUCGGAGCUCACGACCUCUUUGGAGAAGAUCCCCCAAGCGGAUUCAAGACCCCUUCAAGGGAAGACAAUCAAGAUCUCCUCAUGGAGAAGAACGGCUACCUUUGUAUCUUUCCUUUGUUGAUUUUGAAUCUUGUGCUACCUCAUGUGUUCGGUGAUCUAGCCCUUGUGUGAUCGAUACUUGUUGGUUGAGUGAUUCUCUCGUUCCUCCCCGUGUUUUCCCCUUUGUGUUUUCCGCGCGUUCUUCGUGUUUCCCCGUAGGAUCCACUCCAAACGUGAAAGAUCGCCCCCCUAGGGUUCCGCCCUACAUCACUAUAUGUAUGAAGAACAGACUCGAUCUAAACUACGAAAAAAUGUGAAAUCUCACCGAGCAACCUGGAAAUCUGAUACCACUUGAUAGAGGCAAAGGUGUCCCGUCUUUCGAUGAGAUGAUGGAUAUCGCUUUGGUGGAAGUCAACAUUGAUGAUCCGACUACAAACUUGCGAGGACGUCGCGCCUUUGCAAUCGCUAAACCACCUCCGAGAGGUUAUUGACCAUGCCGGAGAACAAUCAACCUGACCACGAGAGUCUGUUUCCUGCGAGCAAACAAAGAACAAGCAAGAAACUGAGAUUGCAAUCUGGAUAUUGCGAAUAUAAGAUGAAAGCUUUAUUGAUCAAGGUGGGGUUCUGUGAUGCCUUUAUCUGGUCUUUGAACACAAACGAAAUACGCGAAGUUGCAGCUAUGGCGAACUGUUAAUCUAAACAAAACCCAAAGUCUAAACGAUGCCUUAAGGGCUGUAUAUAUGGAGGAAGAGGGGGGAAUUUCGUGGCCCUUGGGGAAGGGGUCCGAAACCAACCCUAUCUCUUGUUUCCCCACACAUACGGACUCUAAAAACAGCCUGUACUCAAGUAUUUCGAAAAUACAUGGGCCUGGUCCAAUAAUAAGGUGAUGCAACACCUAGAAUAGUCUCUGGACGAAAGUUAUGAAGUAGCAUAUUAUAUAUUUCGUCCAAGGCUUCAUGCACUCAUUAUGGUGGCUUCAACGUCCUGAAAUCAUCAUCUGUAACUCCAUUCUUGUUCCCCUUGCGCAUGCCAUCAUGUCCAUGCUUGUUCUUGCUCCAAUGUUCAUCCUUCUCCAAGCUAGGCCCUUCAUUUGUAAGCAAAACAAAUGUAUCCAAUUUAGGCAGCAUCAUAUUCUCAUGAACAUUAGAAUCAUUACCAAGAAACGAAAGUACCUGGUAAUUUAGUUGGCAUGCGCGAGCUCUAGUAAUUGGUCCAGUAUGUAUAGCAGCAGGGGCUGUGGGUGUAACAAUUGUAUUGAUGUCCUCAUCAAGAAUGAUGAGGUGGAUAGCGAUGAUGAGAUCAUCGAUUCAGAGUUUGAAGCAUUGCAAGCUUCCAGAGAAAGUGAAGUGCAUGUGGAACGAUUUUAUGCCCCAGAUUCAAUGCCGGACUCGGUACCCCCAGGAAUGGAAUCAUAUAGGGAUUUCAUACUGAAGUCCUUGAUGACAUCGUAUGAUCCAAAGAUGAUGAAGAAAUGACCACAUAGUCAGUGACGCAACUACUCUCUGCUUAGCACUAAUUAUUUGGUGUGAUUUCAUAAAUUGUCAAUGUGCCCAAAGUCUUUUUUUUAUUGGAUGAGUUUGUUAAGUGACAUCAUACUUUGGCAUGAAUGAAGCUCAUUUUGUUGCUUACUGUUACUUGCAACGUUCUACUCUCAAAGCAAUAGAUAAGUCGAAGUCAUGGAGUAAUAAAAAUCACCAAAAAAAUAACAACAAGUUCUUUUAAGGUUACUUGAUGGCAUGGAGUAAUAAGCAUCAGAAAACAAAGAACGACUUUGCUGAGAUUAUGAAUAAGGCUACAAGUACAGUACGAGUAUGUUUAAAUUCAUGACUGUAUAAAUAACGAAGUCGCUAAGAUUAUUAGUGAUAACAAGCCACAAGAAGUACAUCAAGCAUCUGGAAGGGCUUCAAUAGCAGCAAUUAGAACAUCAGCAUCGCAGGGUACUACGUUCGGAAGCAUUUCGAGUGCCGCCAGAAAUGACUUCCUCAUGUGCGGAACCUUGUACCAGUUACCUCCUUUCUGCUUCUGUACCUCGCACAUGCAUGACUGAAGGGUAAGAAAAAUACGGUUGCUUCUCUCAGCCGGGUACGUGUCAUAUGCUUUUUUCACCUUUGCAACAAUAUCAACAAUUUUACCAGGGGACAUCUUCUCAAAAAGAGCCUGAAGUGCAGCAAAGAACCCUAAGUCAAGAAUGUUCAAAUCAGGUGAGUUCGGCGGCUGACAUGUAAGGCUAAUAUCCCAUCCAUCCGCCUGUGCUGCUGCACAAAACACAUUGUCAUUCACAGCAAUAUGGUUCUUUGCAUUAUCUUGCUGAAUGUAUAUUAUGCGUCCGCGUUCCGAAGCCGGCCACAAAGCCUUGAUGGUAGGUAGAAGCUUGUUCACCAUGUAAUCUCUACUGACAUCCUUCAUCAUUGAUGGCAAAACCUUGGUUACCUCUUCCCCCCUCUCUUGGUAAGGGCCACGCCUCUUAGCAAAGUCCUGAUAUGUGAACGGACAAAUUCCAAUCUUGCCAUCAAAUGUCAUGACACCAUGAUCAUCAUAACGUGGCCUUGCUACUGCUGCCAAGAACAUCACUUUCUCGAUAAAUCCCUUGCUCUGUGUAUUUCAAUAGGGUUCUUCUUCAUCAGGUGCCAAGUAGUAGUUCUGGGGACCUUUAGUGUGGUACAACCACUUCUCAUCAAUGUGAAUGACAUUGUACAUGCCUUUAAAUCUGGGUUCUUCAGGCACACUUAGCUCAUCCAACAUGGAUAAACAAAACCGAAUCCGACCCACCUUGUUGUCAUCAGUCAAUGUGGAUUUAAUUGAAUUUGUAUGGCGCUUCAGUCUGCCCUCCUUCAACCUUCUCCAUAAAGUUGUCUUUGCCAUUUGAAGCUCAUUAGCAAGAUCUUUGAGCGUAGUUCUUUUGCUCAAUUCAAUCUUUUUAUGGCAUCUGAAUCAAACGGUAUCUUCUUGGGGCCACAAGUUUUCACCCUUUUGUUUGCUACUCCAUGAAUACCACCGACUUUCUUGCCUCUCGACCAUAUGUUUUGAACAGUCCGGUAAUUAACUUGACAAAGCUCUGCCACCUCGUAAACCACCCCUUGGUUUAGUAUGCCUUGAUUUGUCCGCUCUUAUAGCAUGGCAUAAAUUUCUUGCUUUUGAUGGUCCCGGUACCAUCUUCGCUUCUUUUUUUGACUAGCAUUAGAGCCUACAGAAUAUUCAGAACAAGGACUGAAUUACUUUCAGCUAAAAUUAACUAACAUUCUCUACAAGUUAACAUGAAUUUAGUGCCACAGAUUACUCACAAUGACAUCAGACAAGGACUAACUGAAAUAACUCAUGCAGAAGACUAACUAUUGUUGCUGCCGGUGUCAGCUACUUCAGCUUGUACUCCAGGGUCACUCUCUGGAACACACCUUUGUUCAACUCCACACGGAUGCAUGGGUAAACGUUGCCGGCGGGGCUGGUUGCAUCAUUGCCGCUGCCAUUUUCUGAAGAUGGAACACUUUCUGUACAGUCACCUUGGUUAAUGUCGAUUGGGCUGGCUGCAACAUUGCUGCUGCCAUUUAGCAAAGAUGGAACAACUUCGGUACGGCCGCUUUGCCACUUCAUCAAAGCCGGGCCCAUUCUGUUGCGACCAACCAAGCCCAAGCGUCGAUGACCAUGUCGAGCGUCAUUGGCGUCCCCGACGGCAUUGUCGUCACCUCCACGGGCACGCCCGACGACAGGACUAGCUAGUAGCACCGCACGCACGCGUUUAAGCAAGACAUCAUGUGCACCACGAGCACGUCCGAGGCCCGUGUGCAUACUGGCAGCUUCUUCCACUUUCGAGCCAUCGCAUCCACCAGCAGCAUCUUCUCCAUGGCCCGAGUCGUGUGCGGACAUAGAACUUGCCGCAUCAACUCCUUGGUCACCGGUGGUGAUGUUCACAAGAUGGUAGGGAACAUGACAACCGUUCCCUGGAUGAAUACUUCACCGGUCCGGCGCGCACGAGAAUCUAUAAGAACAUGUUCACCGUCGAAGAGAUACGCCCUGGUGGUACCAAGCUGGAUCGCCCCCGGAUAGAAGGUCUUCCUACUUCUGAGCGAAACCAUCAUGCAAAACGACACCGGCCACCACUACUCUGCUGGAUUCACCGGCGGCUUGCACUGUAUUCCAUCCUCAGCGUGGCCUCGUCCAGCAGCGCCUCGGCGAUCGACUUGACCAGAGAUGGUGACACAACGGGUCAAGUACUACCCCGAAGUACAUGAUCUAGUUCAAGUAGUAUGGAAUACAUACAGUACGUAUACCUGUGAAGCCUCCGUUGCGUCCACUGCAUGGCCGGGUCUGUUUGCAUGUUGGCCUCACGCGCGUCCCCGCCCCUCGGCGCGUUGGCCGUGGCCGUCCCCAUGUCCAAGCCCCCCGGCGCGUUGGCCGUGCCCGCGUCCGCGCCUGCCUGCGCCUUGGCGGUCCCCGCGUCCGCGCCCGCUGAUGCGUUGGCCGCGCCCGGCGUCUUCCGCCGGCAUGCAUACGUCAAGUCGCCCGUGCUCCGCAGAAGCAGCUCACGUGUAUUCAAGGAGGUCCUCCUCAUCGUUGGCUUCUUUGCUGGCAUGGAGUCGAUCAUGCUCGCCUCCAUUGCCGUCAUGGAGGGAAUGCUCAACUUCUACAUGGAGCCCGCAAUGAAAAAAUUAUCCCGCUAUUACUGCAAAAAGGUGAGAUUGCACAAGAACAUACCGUCGCCGGAGCCAUCGGAAACUAGCCAGUCAUAGUCGUAUCCAAGAUCACAUGCCCGGUCUUCUUUCUCCUCAAUUGAAUCCCAAUUAGGUGUUGGAUGCAAGUCUAGAUCAACCAUGUUUUCUGUUGGCCACGUACUGGAAGAAGGGGGAAAUGAAGAAAACCAGGGGAGUUCACUCAUUUUGUACACGAGAACAUAUUUUAAAAUCUUCAUUCUGUUGGCGCCAAGUGACUUCCCUCCCUUUUUCUCAUUACCGCGCGAGCUCAUUUUUCUAUAGGAGGCAACAGAGUUAUUUGCAUCGCUGAUUUCUUGGGAUACGGGGAUUGCAUGUGCCAUGCAAGGUCGGCAGCGUAUCUACAUGCAACGGCCAAAUCAGUGGAAGUUCACCUAAUUUAUUUCCAACGCUAAGCUAAUACCAGGGGUAGUAUUGUCCCAGAUGCUCCAAAAGAAAAGAACAAAACUAACUCCAUGUAUUGUUGUUCUUGAAAACCAAAACGAAUCUCGCUGGGUUUUUUUUCUCUCCAAACACCAAGUGUACCUCACAAGGACACGUCCCCAAGAACAACUAGUCAGAUUUUUGUUCCUUUGUAUUCUGCUAUGUGACGAAGAUGUAAUGAUGGCAAAACAACUGAUGGAUGACGCCGAUGAAACAACUGAUGGCUGGUGAUGAUGGCGACAGCGGCGGCAAAGAAAAUGAAUGGCAGUGGAAAACGAAAGCGCAUGACAAAAACGUGACCAGAACUCAAAACUCUAAAAGACUAGAUACUAAAACCAGCAACUCGACACACGAUGCAAACGAAAAUUCAACAAUGCAAAAACUAAGUGGUAAUGGCGAAAAGGCUCGGACUGUUUGGGACACUGAUGAACUAAUCUAACUUUUUUUUGGCUUUUCGUGAACUGUCGGUAUGAAUGGCAGAUGCGAUCUAAACUAUGAACAACUGUAAAAACUCACCAAGCAACCUGAAAACUGAUACCACUUGAUAGAGGCGGGGUGUCCCGGUCUUUCGAUUAGAUCAUAACUAUCGAUUUGGUGGAGACAACUUUGACGAUCCGACUACAAAUGUGCACGACGUUGCACCUUAGCAAUCACUAAACUAAUAUCCUGAGGUUACUGACGAUGCCGGAAGCACGGUCAACCUGACCACGAAGGUCUAUUCCUGCAAGCAAUCGAAGAACGGGCAAGAAUAUGAUAAAGCAAUCUGAAUAUUGCGAGUAUAUAUGGAGUAUUGAUAAUGGUGGGGAUCCGUAAGCGGUCUUGGUCUGGUCGUUGGACACAAACGAAGUACACGAAGUUGCAAUGACUAACUUUUAGCUAAACAAAUCCCAGGUCUAAACGAUGCUUUAAGGGCUAUAUUUAUAGGGAGAAGAGAGGGGAUUUUGUCCACCCUUGGCAAGGUGGGACUAAAAUACCUCCUAAGUCCUUUCCCCUACAAAAUGGACUCUAAAAAUAGAUUACAUGGGCCUGGCCCGAAGUAAGGUGGUUCCACACCUAUGGAUGAAAUUUAUGAAAUGCCAUCUUGUAUAUUUCGUCCAUCUUCUUGUGUGUCAUCAUGGUGGCUUCAAAGUCCGAAAACUCCAAUUGAACCUCCGUUCUUGUUCUCUUUGCAUGCACCUUCAUCUCCGUGCUUGACCAUGCUCCAAUGUUCAACCUUCUUGUCCGUGCUAGGCCCUUCAAUUGCAAGCAACACAAAUGUAUCUAAGUUAGGCAGCAUCAUAUUCUCAUGAACACUGGAAACACUACGAAGAAACGAAAGUACCAGAUAAUUUAAUGGGCGUAUCUGAGUUCUAGCAACUGUUCCAAGAGGUAAAACAACAGGGGAUAUGAGUGUAACUAUGGUAGCCAUGUCCACAUCAAUAUGGAGAUCUUGUUUGGUUGCAUUUGUGUAAGGAUAGAUUUCCUGAUUUGCGCAAAUUAAAGCUAAUGCCACGUGCUGAUGGUCUCUUUAAGGUGUUAUAGAGAAUAAAUGAUAAUGCAUAUAAACUUGAGCUGCCUGCAGAUUUUGGGGUUAGUCCCACUUUUAACAUUGCAGAUUUGAAGCUUUACUUGGGUGAGCAAGAUGAACUUCCGUCGAGGACGACUUCAUUUCAAGAAGGGGAGGAUGACGAGGACAUCAAUACCAUUGUCACACCCACAACCCCUGCUGCUAUACAUAUUGGACCAAUUACUAGAGCUCCCGCACAACUAAAUUAUUAGGUACUUUAAUUCUCAAAAAAAAAUUACCAGGUACUUCUGUUUCUUGGUAAUGAUUCUAAUGUUCAUGAGAAUAUGAUGUUGCCUAAAUUGGAUACAUUUGUUUUUCUUACAAAUGAAGGGCCUAGCUUGGAGAAGGAUGAACAUUGGAGCAAGAACAAGCACGGAGAUGAUGGCAUGCGCAAGGGGAACAAGAAUGGAGUUACAAGUGAUGAUUUUAGGGCUUUGAAUCCACCAUAACGAGUGCAUGAAGCCUUGGACGAAAUAUACAAGAUGUCACUUCAUUAAUUUCGUCCAUAGGCUAUUCUAGGUGCUGCGUCACCUUUUUAUUGGGCCAGGCCCAUGUAAUUUUGAAAUACAUAAGUAUAGGCUAUUUUUAUAGUCCGUAUGUGUGGGGAAACAAGAUAUAGGGUUCGGACCCCUCCACCAAGGGCCACAAAAUUCUCCCCUCUUCCUCCAUAUAUACAGCCCUUAGGGCACCGUUUAGACUUUGGGUUUUGUUUAGAUUGAAAGUUCGUGAUAGCUGCAACUUCGUGUACUUCGUUUAUGUUCAACGACCAGACAAAGGCGUCAUAGAACCCCACCUUCAUUAAUAAAGCUUUCCUCUGUUAUUCGCAAUAUCCAGAUUGCAAUCUUAGUUUCUUGCUUGUUCUUUGUUUGCUUGCAGGAAAUAGACCUUCGUGGUCAGCUUGAUCGUGCUCCGGCGUGGUCAAUAACCUCUCGGAGUUGGUUUAGUGAUUGCUAAGGCGCGACGUCCUCGCACAUUCGUAGUCGGAUCGCCAAAGCCGACUUCCACCAAAACGAUAGCCACCAUCUCAUCGAAAGAGGGGACACCUUUGCCACCAUCAAUUGUGAUGCAAGUGGUACCGGAAUUCGCGGAGUUUUGAUGAAAGAAAAACGAGCCAUUGCAUACUUUAGUGAAAAAUUCUCUGGUGCUCAACUUAACUACCCCAUCUAUGACAAAGAAUUGUAUGCUUCAGUGCGUGUGCUACAUGUUUGGGAGCAUUACCUUUGACCUCAUGAGUUUGUCAUCCAUACCGGUCAUGCAACGCUUAAGUACUUAAAAGGUCAAACUAAGUUGAACAAGCGUCAUGCCAAAUGGAGUGAAUUUAUUGAAUCUUUCCCCUAUGUGAUCAAGUACAUUAAGUGUAAGGAAAAUGUAGUUGCGGAUGCACUUUCACGCAUACGCAUGCUUGUCACUAAACUUGAGUUGAAUGUUGUUGGCUUUGAGCACAUCAAAGACUUGUAUGCUAAUGAUCCAUCUUUUGCUACUCCUUAUGAUAAAUGUUUGACGCAUACAUCUUGGGAACGAUAUUACAUCAAGGAUUAUUAUCUUAUGAGAGCUAAGAAACUUUGCAUUCCCGAGUCUUCUCUUCGUUUGCUCCUUUUGCAAGAGGCUCAUGGAGGUGGACUCAUGGGACAAUUUGGACGCGACAAGACAUUCGCCACGCUCUCUAAGAACUACUUUUGGCCCAAGAUGUUCUGCGACGUCUCACGCUUCACCAAUUGAUGCUCUACAUGUCGCAAAGCUAAGUCUAAAGCUCAAUCCCAUGGUCUUUACAUGCCUCUUCCUAUUCCUUAUCAACCUUGGGAAGACAUUAGCAUGGAUUUUGUACUUGGUUUGCUUAGAACUCAAAAUGGCAAGGAUUCCGUGUUUGUUGUUGUGGACAGAUUUUCUAAGAUGGCACAUUUCCUCCCAUGCAACAAGAUAGAUGAUGCUUCACAUGUUGCCAAUUUCUUUUGUAGGGAAAUAUUGCGACUCCAUGGAGUACCAAAGACAAUCGUCUCCGACCGCGACGUCAAGUUCUUGAGUUACUUCUGGAAGACGCUAUGCGCCAAGCUCGGAAUCAAGAUCUUGUUCUCAUUCGCAUACCAUCCUCAAACCAACGGCCGAACGAAGGUGACGAAUCGUAUGCUCUCCAAUCUACUCCGCGUGUUGGUCAAGAAGAACAUCAAGGAGUGGGAGGCAUGUCUACCCAUCACCGAGUACGCCUACAAUCGGGCAAGACAUUCGACGACCAAGAAGUCCCCCUUCGAGGUCGUCUACAGCUUCAACUCGUUGCCCCCAUUGGACAUUCUACCUCUUCCACUACAAGAGCGCACCAACAUGGAUGCGAGUGCACGAGCAAGCUACAUCAAGAAGAUGCACGAGGAUACAAGGCACACCAUCGAGUGCCAAGUACAACGACUCACGACGAAGCUCAACGUCAACAAGCAACCCAUGAUAUUCAACAUUGGAGAUCUCAUGUGGCUACACCUUCGCAAGGACCGCUUCCCCAACGAACGCAAGUCCAAACUUCUACCUCGAGUCGAUGGAACUUUCAAGGUGCUAGCAUGCUACAACAACAACGCUUACAAGAUCAAUCUCCCAUGCGACAAGUACAACAUGAGCGACAUCUUCAAUGUCAACAAUCUCUCCUCGUACCAUGGUGAUGAGGAUUUCGAUCCGAGGUCGGAUCUUUCCCAAGGGAGGGGAGAUGAUGCGGAGCAUCCUAUGGUCAUCCCCAUGAAUCUACCAUUGUCUCACCAAGCACCAAGAGGACCCAUGACAAGAGCCCGAGCUAGAGCUCUCGAGACCGAGGUGACUUCUCUCCUUAGUGAUAUCUCAUAUGAUCCUCUCGAGACAUGGCUACUACCUAAGUCCGAAAUGUUGUGCAUGAUUAGGUACCAAGAGGACCCUCCCGAGGAUGCACGUGAAGAUGGUCAAGCCACCAAGUCCACGGAAGAAGAGAACCAACGGAAGAAGGCUAGGACAGCUUCCAGGAACCGGACAUCCGGCCAUGGCCCCGGACAUCCGGCCCCUGGAGAUCUACCCCUCACCCACGGGUCUAAAGCAGAAGCUACAGGGCCCGAACAUCUGGCGUCCAGCCCACACAUCCGGCCUCUAGCCCGGACAUCCGGACACGGCAUCCAGGGAGCAUAGAAGGCUGCCACGAUGGCUCGGACAUUCGGCCAUCACCCCGGACAUCCGGCUCCUCCCGAAGCCCCGGACAUCCGGCCCCUCUGCCCGGACAUCCAGCCCUGUCUAUCCAGAGAGCAGCAAGGCCGACUCCACCAGCCCGGACAUCAGGCCCGACAGCCAAGAAAUCCGGCCCCUCGUGAGUGCCCGUACAUCCGGCCCGACGACCAGACAUCCGCCCCCCUCCUGCCCGCGUGCAGCGCCUCCGGACCGAGGCCCAUGUAUCCCUUCACCCCUUAGACUAUAUAUACUCCCUCGCCACCUACGUUUUAGGGUUAGCAUUGGUUUAGCUCAUUUGAGAUAGAGCUUUGCUCAUCCACACGGAUCUACUCCUCGUUAGGGACUGACACCUCCAUCCGGAGAAGAUUCACCUAGAUUCAAGACCUCCAUCCGGAGAAGACCAUCAAGACCUCCUCACGGAGAACAACGGUUACUCUUGUAUUGUCCCUUGUUGACUUUGGAUCUCGUGUUACUUUGUGCCUCGAUGAUCUAGCACAUGUGUGAUCAUAUUCGUGUUGGUUGAGUGUUUUCUCUUGCGUUUCCCCGUGAUUUCCCUCGUUCCCCUCCACGCGUUCUUCGUGUUCCUCGUAGGGAUCCUCUCCAAACGUGAAAGAUCGUCCCCUAGGGUUCCGCCCUACAUCACUUGAGGUAGUCGUCCAUCAAACACUCCCACUCUAGGUACUCCUCGAGUUCUUGAGUCCCAUAGAAAGGAAUCUUGUGGUCGGUGUCGAGGUCAUAGUAGCUCGUGGAAGUCGCGGACUUGAGCUUGGGGAGCUUCUCUUGAGCAUAGUCUUGGGGUGCUUGUUGGCUAAGAUAUCGUAUGUCCAUAGGCGAAGAUGCCUUGAAGUCGCUUGGCGAAGAUGCCAAGGGAGAUGGUGAAGUCAUUGAGCGGUAGUUGGUGUUGAGAUCUUGACCUGCACGUUCUUGUUGGUGAUGGUAUCAUUGAGGCAAACAUGUCCCGUCUUUCAAUGAGAUGAUGGAUAUCACUUUGGUGGAAGUCGAUUUUGACGAUCCGAAUACGAACGUGCGAGGACGUCACGCCUUAGCAAUCGCUAAACCAACUCUGAGAGGAUAUUGACCACGCCGGAGCACGAUCAACCUGACAACGAGGGUCUGUUUCCUGCGAGCAAACGAAGAACAAGCAAGAAACUGAGAUUGCAAUCUGGAUAUUGCGAAUAUAGGAUGAAAGCUUUAUUGAUUAAGGUGGGGUUCUGUGACGCCUUUGUCUGGUCGUUGAACACAAACGAAGUACGUGAACUUGCAGCUAUGUCGAACUUUAAUCUAAACAAAACCCAAAGUCUAAACGACGCCCUAAGGGUUGUAUAUAUGGAGGAAGAGGGGGGAAUUUCGUGGCCCUUGAGGGAGGGGUCCAAAACAAACCCUAACUCUUGUUUACCCAUACAUACGGACUCUAAAAAUAUCCUAUAAUCAAGUAUUUCGAAAUUACAUGGGCCUGGCCCAAUAAUAAGGUGAUGCAACACCUAGAAUAGCCUCUGGACGAAAAUUAUGAAGUAGCAUCUUGUAUAUUUUGUCCAAGGCCUCACGCACUCAUUAUGGUGGCUUCCACGUCCUGAAAUCCUCACUUGUAACUCCAUUCUUGUUCCCCUUAUGCAUGUCAUCAUCUCCAUGCUUGUUCUUGCUCCAAUGUUCAUCCUUCUCAUAGCUAGGCCUUUCAUUUGUAAGCAAAACAAAUGUAUCCAAUUUAGGCAGCAUCAUAUUCUCAUGAACAUUAGAAUCAUUACCAAGAAACGAAAUGAUGAGGACAUCAAUACCAUUGUUACACCCACAACCCCUGCUGCUAUACAUACUGCACAAAUUACUAGAGCUCGCGCACGCCAAUUAAAUUACCAGGUACUUUUGUUUCUUGGUAAUGAUUCUAAUGUUCAUGAGAAUAUGAUGCUGCCUAAAUUGGAUACAUUUGUUUAACUUACAAAUGAAGGGCCUAGCUUGGAGAAGGAUGAACAUUGGAGCAAGAACAUGCAUGGAGAUGAUGGCAUGCACAAGGGGAACAAGAACGGAGUUACUAGUGAUGAUUUCAGGACGUUGAAGCCAGCAUAAUGAGUGCUUGAAGCCUUGGACAAAAUAUACAAGAUGCUACUUCAUAACUUUCAUCCAGAGGCUAUUCUAGGUGCUGCGUCAUCUUAUUAUUGGGCCAGGCCCAUGUAUUUUCGAAAUACUUGAGUAUAGGCCGUUUUUAGAGUCCGUAUGUGUGGGGAAACACGAGAUAGGGUUGGUUUCGGAUCCAUUUCCCAAGGGCCACGAAAUCCCCCCCUCUUCCUCCAUAUAUACAGCCCUUAGGGCGUCGUUUAGACUUUGGGUUUUGUUUAGAUUAAAGUUCGCCAUAGCUGCAACUUCGCGUACUUCAUUUGUGUUCAACAACCAGACCAAGACGUCACAGAACCCCAUCUUGAUCAAUAAAUCUUUCAUCUUAUAUUCGCAAUAUCCAGAUUGCAAUCUCAGUUUCUUGCUUGUUCCUCAUUUGGUCGCAGGAAACAGACCCUCGUCGUCAGGUUGAUCGUGCUCCGGUGUGGUCAAUAACCCCUCGGAAGUUGGUUUAGCUAUUGCUAAGGCGCGACGCCACGCACGUUCGUAGUCGGAUCGUCAAGAUCGACUUCCACAGAAAAUGAUAGCCACCAUCUCAUCGAAAGACGGGACACCUUUGCCUCUAUCAAGUGGUAUCAGAUUUCCAGGUUGCUCGCUGAGAUUUUACAGUUUUUCGUAGUUUAGAUCGAGUCUGUUCUUCAUACCUACAGUCCACGAAAAAGCCACACAAAAAAAUAUUAGGGUUCGUUCAUCAUAUCCGAACCAAUCUGAGCCUUUGCAUAAUCUUUUUAGGGUUUUGCUUUGUUGAAUUUGCGGUUGCAUCGUCGUGUCUAGUUGUUGGUCUGAGCGUAUAUUCCUUUAGAGUUUCGAGUUCUGUCACAGUUUGUCACGUCGCCGCCGCACCAUCUUCACCGCUGCCAUAUACCACCACCGCUGCCAUAUCCCACCAACGCUGCCAUAUACCACCGAUCCAUAUCCAUAUACCACCAUCGCUAUCAUAUACCAUCACCGCUGCCAUAUCCUACCACCAUAUAUCCACCACCAAUCCGAGUUCUUUUCGUAUUAGGUUUGUGAGGCGGAGCAUCCCUCGCUCAUCCCCAUGGACGUACCUACAUCUCCCUCAACACCACUUGGACCCAUGAAAAGAGCUCGAGCGAAGGCUAUAGAAGAUAAGGUGAACUCGCUCCUCUCCGUACUCCCUCUUCCUACUCACAGACUUGGCUACUACCUCAUACGAAGACUCUAUGCGUGAUCAGGUACUUGGAGGAGAGCCACGGGGCAGCUACAAUCAAUGGCCAAGGUGGCAAGGACACCAAGCAUGAACAUCAAGAGGAAGAGCUACUUUGGAAGCUACAGGCCCCGGACGACCGGCCAGGCACGGACUUCCGACCCCUGGAAUAUGCUACAGCCAAGAGAAGGAAUGCAUACCAGAGCUAUAGGCCACAGACGACCGACCGAGCCCGGACGACCGAACACUCCCAGGCUCCGGAAGACCGAGCCCCUACGGACGUCCGUGCCAACGACCAUAGAACAGAAAAUACGGUAAUCCAAAGGCUUCCGGAUGACCGUGCGCCUGUCAACAAAACCGAAUCUACGGUCAUCCGAAGAACCCCGGACGUCUGCGACCCCGCGAGCCUCCAGACGACCGGCGCCCCACGGCCGUCUGGAUCCUGGCUGCGUCCAGCUGUGGGCUGAGUCCCAUGUACCCCUUCACUUCGCCCCUCUUUUGCACUAAGACUAUAUAUAGACCACUCCCACCUCCUAGAUAGGGUCAGCAUUGUGAUAGCUCAUGUGAGAUAGAGCAUUUCUCAUCCGUACCGGAUCUACUCCACGUGAGGGACCGUGCCUCUUCGGAGAAGAUCCAUUCGGAUUCAAGGCCUCCAUCCGAAGAAUACAAUCAAGACCUCCUCAUGGAGAAGAACGGUUACUCUUGUAUCUUCCUUUGUUGACUUUGGAUCUUGUGUUACCUUGUGCUUUCGAUGAUCUAGCCCUUGUGUGAUCGAUUCCUUGUCGGUUGAGUGUUUCUCUUGUUUUCCCCCGUGAUUUCUCUCGUGUUCUUCCGCGCGUUCUUCGUGUUUCCCCGUAGGAUCCACUCCAAACGUGAAAGAUCGGCCCCUAGGGUUCCGCCCUACAUCAGUUUGUUUCCGAGAUCCAUCUAAUUUCCAAUUCGUGUUUCCUUGCAUGAGUAGGUUUCGAAAAAAAGAGUCUGGAGACCCCCGGGCAUUUUUUAGGCCAAAAUUUCAGCGACCAAAAAUAUUUUUCCCUAUCUUAUUUUUAGAUCCCAGGGAGUGUUUUGAGACAUUCGCCAUCAUAGUGAUUUUUUUUGCACUUUUUCGUAGUCGCUGCCCUAAUUUCUGAAAAAAAAAGUUGUCAAAAAAAAUAUCGUGCCUAUCCUGUCAGUUUGGCCUGGGAAGAGUUUUGAGACACUCGCCAUUAUAGUGAUUUUUCGCAAGAAAAAAGAGGAGCACAAAAAAACAGAGCGAAAAAAAUUUCCAUAGUGUGCUUUUUCCUUGUUUACGUGCAGCGUCGUGAUUUUGUGAGUGUUCUAGGCUCGCUUCUCUAGCACGGUCUAGCCUAGGACCAGCACAGUACCGUCGUUGAGCGUUUAUUCAACAUUGCAUAUCUGAAUUGAUUAUUGCUGACCCUUUUGCUACCAUAUUAUAAGCCUUCCCAGCUCCACAUACAUCUAGGUUGUGUGUUUGACUCUCCCUGGUAAUCGCUCUAUCCAAGCUUUGAGAGUUUUGACUACAACGGUUCUAGAUCACCGCCUGCUGCUGGGUAAGAACUAGUAAGAAUUUGAGUUUUUCUUGACGGAUUUGUGACACCCACCACCACCACUUGUUAGUAGUCUGUAGGAUCAAAUUCUUAUCUGUUUCUAUUGCUACUAACCAUGCCAGGAUCACAAGCCGACAAGAUUGACUGGGAGAACUUAACGAACAAGGAGCUUCAUGAUAAGUUUCAGCAAAUGAUGACUGAACAGGCGCAAGAUGUGUUGAACUAUUUUGAAGAGGCCAUGGAGAAGAUCACUGGCCUUGAGAAGACGUUCGAAACAAAGCCCAAUAAUAGAUUUAAUGAACUGCUUGCGCGUCUUCCACAACCGGCUGCACCUGCCGCACCUCUGCAACAACAACAACAACAACAACAACAACUACUACUACUACUACCUCCACGUCGCAAAACAGCCCUCCGCCGAGCGAGCCGCGUCCUUCUUCAGCGUGGCCAAACUGUUGGUGCUGCUGUUGAUACUUUUGUGGCUCCUGCUGCUGAUGUGGAGGAUGAUUAUGCGGGAGAUUACGAGGAUGAGGUUGAUCAAAAUCAGAACUACGUGCAACCACGAGCACCACAACCAACAGGUCGUCGACAUGCAAAUAAUCACAAUGGUAGGGCUCUCCCUCAGGUACGAGAUCAUGACCAUCUUCCUAAACUGAAAUUGAAUAUUCCACCAUUUGAGGGUAGAUAUAUAUAUCUUACUUGGGAGCUAGAAACUGAACAACGAUUUGCAUGUUUACAAUAUCCUGAGGUGAGACGUGUUCCUGCUGCUGUUUGUGCUUUCACUAGCUUUGCAUGUGUUUGGUGGUCUGAACAUUGUAGAUUAUAUCCUAUUCCAGCUACUCAGGCUGCUUCGAAAACUGCUAUGCGUACUCGUUGGGUUCCACCAUAUUAUCAACGUGAAUUAAUUCAAAAGUUGCAGUGUUUAAGACAAGGAAAAAAUUCUGUAGAAGAAUAUUAUCCGGAAUUACAAACAGGCAUGAUUAGAUGUGGUAUUGUUGAGGAGAAUGAAGCUAUGCUUGCACGUUUUAUGGGUGGAUUAAAUAGAGAGAUUCAGACCAUUCUAGAGUAUAAGGAGUAUACUAAUAUCACUUGUUUAUUCCAUCUUGCUUGUAAAGCUGAACUUGCAGUGCAUGAUCGACAGGCAUUGGUGCGAACUAACUUUUCUGCAGGUCGACCUUCAUCAUGGAAACCGCGUGCAUCUUCUAAUUCAACUGCACCAACACCUCCAUCAGGUGCCACCUCCAGCUGUGAUACAAGAAAGCAGGCACAACCACCACUAUCUGCCAAGAACACAACUGUCGGGCCUGCACAGAGCUCUUCUUCUUCCAUGGCAUCAACAGGGCACACAAGUGAUAUUAUUUGUCAUCGUUGUAAGGGAAGAGGACAUUAUGCGCGAGAAUGCAAAUCUCAGCGUGUGAUGAUUGCUACUGAGGAUGGUGGGUAUGAGUCUGCUAGUGACUAUUAUGAGGAGACUUUGGCCCUUAUUACAAGUGAAGAACACGGUGGAGAUGAUUCUGAUCAUGAGACGCAAUACAUGGCUCCUGAAUAUGCUGACAUGUAUGAAUGUUUAGUUGCUCAACGUCUUUUGAGUGUGCAGGUUACACAAGCUGAGCAAAAUCAGAGGCAUAAUUUGUUCCAUACAAAGGGAGUUGUGAAGGAACAUUCUGUGCGCGUCAUCAUAGAUGGAGGGAGCUGCAAGAACUUGGCUAGCAUGGAGAUGGUGGGGAAGAUAUCUCUCACCAAAAGACCACAUCCACAUCGUUACUACAUCCAAUGGUUCAACAACAGCGGCAAGGUUAAGGUAACACGUACUAUUUGUGUGCAUUUUAGUAUCUCUACAUAUGCUGAUUAUGUUGAUCGUGAUGUGGUACCUAUGCAAGCAUGUUCUUUAUUACUUGGUCGACCAUGGCAAUUUGAUAAAAAAUUCUGUACACCAUGGUAGAACCAAUCAGUAUACUCUUGUUCAUAAGGAUAAAAUUAUUACUUUGCUUCCUAUGACUCCUGAUUCCAUUCUGAAAGAUGAUGUUAAUAGAGCUAAUAAAGCAAAACAGGACAAGAAUGAGAGUGAAAAUCAGAUUGUGGCAAAAGACAUUGAGCAACAAAUGAUGCCUAAUAAUAAACCAUCUAGUGUUGCUUCUGAGAUUAAGCUAAAAAGUGCAUGCUUAUUUGCCACCAAAUCUGACAUUGAUGAGCUAGAUUUUAGCAGAUCUGUUUGCUAUGCUUUUGUGUGCAAAAAGGCAUUAUUUUCAUUCGAGGACGUGCCUUCCUCUUUGCCUCCUGUUGUCACUAACAUUUUGCAGGAUUUCACUGACGUCUUUCCACAAGACAUGCCACCGGGAUUACCGCCUAUUCGAGGGAUUGAGCAUUAGAUUGACUUAAUUCCCGAUGCUUCACUGCCAAACCGUGCGCCAUACCUUACCAAUCCAGAGGAGACGAAGGAGAUUAUGCGUCAAGUGCAGGAGCUUCUCGACAAAGGUUAUAUACGCGAAUCCCUUAGUCCUUGUGUUGUUCCUAUUAUUCUAGUGCCAAAAAAGGAUGGUAAAUCGCGUAUGUGUGUUGAUUGUAGAGGCAUUAAUAAUAUUACUAUUCAUUAUCGUCAUCCUAUUCCUAGGCUAGAUGAUAUGCUUGAUGAAUUGAGUGGCUCAACAAUAUUCUCCAAAGUUGAUUUGCGUAGUGGAUACCAUCAAAAUCGUAUGAAAUUGGGGGAUGAAUGGAAAACAGCAUUUAAAACCAAGUUUGGAAUAUAUGAGUGGUUAGUCAUGCCUUUUGGGUUAACUAAUGCACCUAGUACUUUCAUGAGACUAAUGAAUGAAGUUUUAUGUGUUUUCAUUGGAUGAUUUCUGGUAGUUUACUUUGAUGACAUAUUGAUUUAUAGCAGAUCUUUGGAGGAACAUUUGGAACAUUUACGUGAUGUUUUACUGCUCUACGUGAUGCACAUUUGUUUGGUAACCUUGGGAAGUGCACCUUUUGCACUGACCGAGUGUCUUUUCUUGCCUAUGUUGUUACUCCACAGGGAAUUGAAGUUGAUAAAGCCAAGAUUGAAGCUAUUGAGAGUUGGCCGCAGCCCAAAACGGUCACUCAAGUGAGGAGUUUUGUUGGCCUUGCUAGAUUCUAUAGGCGUUUUGUGAGAGAUUUUAGCACCAUUGUUGCACCUCUCAAUGAGCUUACAAAGAAGGAUGUGCCUUUUGUUUGGGUUACUGCACAGGAAGAAGCGUUCACGGUGUUGAAAGAUAAGUUGACACAUGCUCCUUUACUCCAACUUCCUGAUUUUAAUAAGACAUUUGAGGUUGAAUGUGAUGCUAGUGGAAUUGGAUUAGAAGGUGUGUUAUUACAAGAUGGCAAACCUGUUGCAUACUUUUCUGAAAAAUUGAGUGGGCCUAGUCUGAAUUAUUCUACUUAUGAGAGAGAAUUAUAUGCUCUUGUUUGGACUUUAGAAACAUGGGAGCAUUAUUUAUGUCCCAAAGAAUUUGUUAAACAUUCUGAACAUGAAUCUUUGAAACAUAUUAAAAGUCAAGCUAAACUCAAUCGUAGACAUGCUAAAUGGGUUGAAUUCAUUGAGACUUUCCCUUAUGUCAUUAAACACAAGAAGGGUAAAGAAAAUGUUAUUGCUGAUGCAUUGUCUCGUUGUUAUAGUAUGAUUUCACAACUUGACUUCAAAAUAUUUGGUUUGGAGACCAUCAAAGAUCAAUAUGUGCAUGAUGCUGAUUUUAAAGAUGUAUUACAGAAUUGUAAAGAAGGAAGAACAUGGAACAAGUUCAUCGUUCAUGAUGGAUUUGUGUUCCGUGCUAACAAGCUAUGCAUUCCAGCUAGCUCCGUUCGUCUUUUGUUGUUGUAGGAGGCGCAUGGAGGAGGAUUAAUGGGACACUUUGGCGUGAAGAAGACGGAGGAUGUACUGGCUACACAUUUCUUUCGGCCAAAGAUGAGACGGGAUGUCGAGCGCUUUGUUGCCUUUGCCUGUCAAAAAGCUAAGUCACAACUCAAUCCUCAUGGUUUAUAUAUGCCUUUGCCUGUACCUAGUGUUCCUUUGGAUGAUAUAUCUAUGGACUUUGUUUCAGGUUUACCUCGAACAAAGAAGGGGAGGGAUAGCAUAUUUGUUGUCAUGGAUAGAUUCUUGAAAAUGGCACAUUGUAUACCAUGUCAUAAAAGCGAUGAUGCUGUUAAUGUUGCUGAUUUGUUCUUUCGUGAAAUUAUUUGCUUGCAUGGUGUGCCAAAUACUAUUGUUUCAGAUUGUGAUGCUAAAUUUCUUAGCCACUUUUGGAGAUGUUUAUGGGCUAAGUUGAGGACUCAACUACUUUUUAGUAAUACUUGUCACCCCCAAACUGAUGGACAAACUGAAGUAGUCAAUAGAACAUUGUCUACUAUGCUUAGGGCUGUUUUGAAGAAUAGUAAGAAAAUGUGGGAAGAAUGCUUGCCUCAUAUUGAAUUUGCUUAUAAUCGUUCAUUGCAUUCUACUACUCAGAUGUGCCCUUUUGAAAUUGCGUAUGGUUUCCUACCUCGUGCACCUAUUGAUUUGUUGCCUCUUCCAUCUUCGGAGAAGGUUAAUUUUGAUGCUAAACAAUGUGCUGAAUUGAUUUUAAAAAUGCAUGAGUUAACUAAGGAAAACAUUGAGCGUAUGAAUGCUAAAAAUAAACUUGUUGGCGAUAAGGGUAGAAAACAUGUUGUGUUUCACCUGGAGAUCUUGUUUGGUUACAUUUGCGUAAGGAUAGAUUUUCUGAUUUGCGCAAGUCAAAGCUAAUGGCACGUGCUAAUGGUCCUUUUAAGCUUUUAGAAAAAAUAAAUGAUAAUGCAUAUAAACUUGAGCUGCCUGCAGAUUUUGGGGUUAGUCCCACUUUUAACAUUGCAGAUUCGAAGCCUUAUUUGGGUGAGGAAGAUGAGCUUCCGUCGAGGAUGGCUUCAUUUCAAGAAGGGGAGGAUGAUGAGGACAUCAAUACCAUUGUUACACCCAUAGCCCCUUCUGCUAUACAUACUAUACCAAUUACUACAGCUCGCGCACGCCAAUUAAAUUACCAGGUACUUUUGUUUCUUGGUAAUGAUUCUAAUGUUCAUGAGAAUAUGAUGCUGCCUAAAUUGGAUAAAUUUGUUUUGCUUACAAAUGAAGGGCCUAGCUUGGAGAAGGAUGAACAUUGGAGCAAGAACAUGCAUGGAGAUGAUGGCAUGCGCAAGGGGAACAAGUACGUAGUUACAAGUGAUCAUUUCAGGACGCUAAAGCCACCAUAAUGAGUGCAUGAAGCCAUGGACGAAAUAUACAAGAUGCUACUUCAUAACUUUCGUCCAGAGGCUAUUCUAGGUGCUGCGUCACCUUAUUAUUGGGCCAGGCCCAUGUAUUUUCGAAAUACUUGAGUAUAGGCUAAUUUUAGAUUCCGUAUGUGUGGGGAAACAAGAGAUAGGGUUGGUUUCAGACCCCUUCCCCAAGGGCCACGAAAUUCCCCCCUCUUCCUCCAUAUAUAUAGCCCUUAGGGCAUCGUUUAGGCUUUGGGUUUUGUUUAGAUUAAAGUUCGCCAUAGCUGCAACUUCGCAUACUUCGUUUGUGUUCAAUGACUAGACCAAGACGUCACAGAACCCCAUCUUGAUCAAUAAAGCUUUCAUCUUAUAUUCGUAAUAUCCAGAUUGCAAUCUCAGUUUCUUGAUUGUUCUUCGUUUGCUCGCAGGAAACAGAUCCUCGUGGUCAGGUUGAUCAUGCUCUGGUGUGGUCAAUAACCCCUCGGAAGUUGGUUUAGCGAUUGCUAAGGCGCGACGUCACGCACGUUCGUAGUCGGAUCGUCAAGGUCGACUCCCAAAAAAAUGAUAGCCACCAUCUCAUCGAAAGAAGGAACACUUUUGCCUCUAUCAACGUGGCGCAUUACUAUUGCCUGUGAUGUGUUCACUGUGGAGGUUAAAUGAUGGACGGCCGCAACUUAAUAGAUAACGGUUCGGAAAUAAUAAAAAAACACAGAUGAUCUAAUCCCGACCGUUUAAAGAAGAUCGGACAGCAGGGAGAAGUACUCACCUGAGAACCAAGUUGGGCAUCGUCGGGGUUGGAGAAGGACGGCGCCGGUGGCUCGGUGGUGACACGGGCGACGGCUACAGAUGGCCUCAGGCUACGCAGAUAUGACCUACGAGUGGAGAGCACGACGAAGAUGAAGUGGGUGACCUCCGACACAAGAUGAGGUGGGUGAGGCCUACCAUUUCUAACCCCAAAAUCAGGAAGCUCCAAUUAUGUCGGAGGUCACCCACUUCAUCUUCGUCGCGCUCUCCACUCGUAGGUCAUAUCUGCGUAGCCUGAGGCCCUCUGUAGCCGUCGCCCGUGUCACCACCGAGCCACCGACGCCGUCCUUCUCCAACCCCAACGACGCCCAGCUCGGUUCUCAGGUGAGUACGUCUCCCUGCCAUCCGAUCUUCUUUAAACGGCCGGGAUUAGAUCAUCUGUGUUUUAUUAUUAUUUCCGAACCGUUAUCUGUUAAGUUGCGGCCGUCCAUCGUUUAACCUCCAUAGCGAACACAUCACCAGCAAUAGUAAUGCGCCACGUUGAUAGAUGCAAAGGUGUCCCGUCUUUUGAUGAGAUGAUGGAUAUCGCUUUGGUGGAAGUCGACUUUGACGAUCCGACUACGAACGUGCGAGGACGUCGCGCCUUGGCAAUCGCUAAACCAACUCCGAGAGGUUAUUGACCACGCCGGAGCACGAUCAACCUGACCACGAGGGUCUGUUUCCAGCGAGCAAACGAAGAACAAGCAAGAAACUGAGAUUGCAAUAUGGAUAUUGCGAAUAUAAGAGGAAAGCUUUACUCAUCAAGGUGGGGUUCUGUGACGCCUUUGUCUGGUCGUUGAACACAAACGAAGUACGCGAAGUUGCAGCUAUGGCGAACUUUUAAUCUAAACAAAACCCAAAGUCUAAAGACGCCCUAAGGGUUGUAUAUAUGGAGGAAGAGGGGGGGAUUUCGUGGCCCUUGGUGGAGGGGUCCGAAAUCAACCCUAUAUCUUGUUUCCCCACACAUACGGACUCUAAACUAGCUUAUACUUAUGUAUUUCGAAAUUACAUGGGUCUGGCCCAAUAAUAAGGUGACGCAGCACCUAGAAUAGCCUCGGCACGAAAUUUAUGAAGUGGCAUCUUGUAUAUUUCGUCCAAGGCUUCAUGCACCCAUUAUGGUGGCUUCAAAGUCCUGAAAUCAUCACUUGUAACUCCGUUCUUGUUCCCCUUGCGCAUGCCAUCAUCUCCAUGCUUGUUCUUGCUCCAACGUUCAGCCUUCUCCAAGCUAGGCCCUUCAUUUGUAAGCAAAACAAAUGUAUCCAAUUUAGGCAACAUCAUAUUCUCAUGAACAUUAGAAUCAUUACCAAGAAACGAAAGUACCUGGUAAUUUAGUUGGCGUGCGCGAGCUCUAGUAAUUGGUCCAGUAUGUAUAGCAGCAUGGGUUGUCGGUGUAACAAUUGUAUUGAUGUCCUCGCACGUUCGUAGUCGGAUCGUCAAAGCCGACUUCCUCCAAAAUGAAAGCCACCAUCUCAUCGAAAGACGGGGCACCUUCGCCUCUAUCAAAACUUGUCAAUUUCUUCUGCCAAGGCUUGAUUAAUGAACCUACAAAUUCCCUCGAAUUGGAUCUGACUAAAUCCGGGUAUUGUGGACAUUCCCUCGUUUCCAUUCUGGAGCAUCUUAAUCUUAAGUUUCCUGUUUAUCAAAGAAAAAUACCAUUAUCAGCUCACUCUUCAUCAAUCCCUAUGGAUCGAUCUAGCAAUCAUGGAAUCUAUAUUCUGUUUACUGAAUCACAUGAAAUUCUAGGGAACUCAACAUACGUAUUUCAUAUAUGUAUUUCAUACAUAUGAAUAGAGACUGAUGAGGACAUGACUACCUUGGAUAAGACCAAAAAUAUUGCAUACAUGCAUAUUUAUCAGGUGAUUUCUAGUGCAAACUAUUCAAUAAUCUAUUUAUGUUAUCCAGAACAAAAAUACUUCACACACUUUUGUGUUUUGUCUAAUUGCAGGUGUAUGGGACAUUUGGACAAUCCAUAUAUGAAGAUAAGGGAAAAGGAGAAGUUUAGGUGCUGUUCAAAAAGUCCUCUCAUGUCACUUUUGGGCCAAGAGAAGAUAGAGUCCAAGUCUCUAAUGUGCUGGAUUCAGAUUCGAACUACAUAGACAUACCUGACUCAAAACGCCCACAAAAUUUUCAUACAGACUUCAAAUUGGGUGAUUCUUUUUUUUUGGAAACUAGAUUUCAUGCACUUUCCAACCCAAUUGGAAUCACCUUCAAAUUCGUCCGGAGCGUUGAGUCAUGGACGAAACAAUCUGAUGCUGCAGCAGAAUCUGAGUCAAACUACAAGUCGAAAGGUGUUACAUCAACUCCACUUGGGCCCAUUGGCCUUGUACGACCUAGAGUUAGUUUUAGGCUGCCUUGGGACGUCCUCCCACCUCCUUGGCCGCCACCCCUUGCUCCUAUAUAAGUAGAUCCAUCUAGUAGCUUUUCCCUUGGGAUUUGUUUAGUUAAAAGUUAGCCAACGCAACUUCAUGUACUUCGUUUGUGUCCAAUGACCAGACCAAGACCGCUUUUGGAUCCCUACCAUUAUCAAUACUUCAUCCAUAUUCGCAAUAUUCAGAUUGCUUUAUCAUAUUCUUUCUUGUUCUUCGAUUGCUUGCAGGAAUAGACCUUCGUGGUCAGGCUGAUCGUGCUUCCGGCAUCGUCAGUAAUCUCAGGAGAUUGGUUUAGCGAUUGCUAAGGCGCAACGUCGUGCACGUUUGUAGUCGGAUCGUCAAAGUCAUCUUCACCAAAUCAAUAGUUAUCAUCUCAUCGAAAGAUCGGGACACCCCCGCCUCUAUCAGACACCAUUUCGACAAAAGUUCGAGUUUGCCAGGGGAACAAAUGAAAUGAAAAUGAAUUGAUAAAACAUUCUGAUAGAGGUGGGGUGUCCCGAUCUUUCGAUGAGAUGAUAACUAUAGAUUUGGUGGAGACGACUGUGACGAUACGACUACAAACGUGCACAACGUUGCGCCUUAGCCAUCGAUAAACAACUCCGAGAGGUUAUUGACCACGCCGGAGCAUAAUCAACCUGACCACGAAGGUCUAUUCCUGCAAGCAACCAAAGAACAAGCAAGAAUACGAUAAAAGCAAUCUGAAUAUUGCGAGUAUAUAUGAAGUAUUGAUAAAGGUGGGGAUCCGUAAGCGGUCUUGGUCUAGUCGUUGGACACAAAUGAAGUACACAAAGUUGCAAUGGCAUACUUUUAGCUAAACAAAUCCCAAGGGAAAAGCUACUAGAUGGAUCUACUUAUAUAGGAGCAAGGGGUGGCGGCCAAGGAGGUGGGAGGACGUCCCAAGGCAGCCUAAAACUAACUCUAGUCGUACAAGGCCAAUGGGCCCAAGUGGAGGUGACGUAACACCUUUGGACUUGUAAUUUGACUCGGAUUCUGCUGCAGCAUCAGAUUGUUUCGUCCAUAACUCAACGCUCCGGGCGAAUUUUAAGGUGAAUCCAAUUGUUUUGGAAAUAGCACGAAAUCUACUUUCCAACAAAAAAAAUCGCCCAAUUCGGAGUCCGUAUGAAAAAGUUGUUGAUAUUUUGAGUCAGGUAUAUCUGUGCAGUCCGAAUCUGACUCCAGAACGUGAGAGACUUGGACUCUAUUUUCUCUUGGCCAAAAGUGACGUGAGAGAUCUUUUUGAAUAGCAAAUAAACAUCUCUUUCUUCCUUAUCUUCAUAUGUGGAUUGUACAAAUGUCCCAUACACCUGCAAUUAGACAAAACACAAAAGUUUGUGAAGUAUUUUUGUUCUACUCCAAACUCCCAAUGAUGAGGACAUCAAUACAAUUGUUACAUCCACAGCCCCUGCUGCUAUACAUACUGGACCAAUUACUAGAGCUCGCGCAUGCCAACUAAAUUAUCAGGUACUUUCGUUUCUUGGUUAUGAUUCUAAUGUUCAUGAGAAUAUGAUGCUGCCUAAAUUGGAUACAUUUGUUUUGCUUACAAAUGAAAGGCCUAGCUUGGAGAAGGAUGAACAUUGGAGCAAGAACAAGCAUGGAGAUGAUGGCAUGCGCAAGGGGAACAAGAACGGAGUUACAAGUGAUGAUUUCAGGACUUUGAAGCCACCAUAAUGGGUGCAUGAAGCCUUGGACGAAAUAUACAAAAUGCCACUUCAUAAAUUUCGUCCCGAGUCUAUUCUAGGUGCUGCGUCACCUUAUUAUUGGGCCAGGCCCAUGUAAUUUCGAAAUACAUAAUUAUAGGCUAUUUUUAGAGUCCGUAUGUGUGGGGAAACAGGAGAUAGGGUUGAUUUCGGACCCCUCCACCAAGGGCCACGAAAUUCCCCCCUCUUCCUCCAUAUAUACAGCCCUUAGGGCAUCGUUUAGACUUUGUGUUUUGUUAAGAUUAAAAAUUCACCAUAGCUGCAACUUCGCGUGCUUCGUUUGUGUUCAACGACCAGACAAAGGCGUCACAGACCCCCACCAUGAUCAAUAAAGCUUUCAUCUUAUAUUCGCAACAUCCAGAUUACAAUCUCAGUUUCUUGUUUGUUCUUCGUUUGCUCGCAGGAAACAGACCCUCGUGGUCAGGUUGAUCGUGCUCUGGCGUGGUCAAUAACCUCUCGGAGUUGGUUUAGCAAUUGCUAAGGCGCGACGUCCUCGCACGUUCGUAGUCGGAUCGUCAAAGUCGACUUCCACCAAAGCGAUAUCCAUCAUCUCAUUGAAAGACGGGACACCUUUGCCUCUAUCAAGUGGUAUCAGAUUUCCACAUUGCUCGGUGAGAUUUUACAGUUUUCGUAGUUUAGAUUGAGUCUGUUCUUCAUACCUAUAGUCCACAAAAAAGGCAAAAGAAAAAUUUGGGUUAGUUCAUCCCAUCCGAAACAAUCUGAGCCUUUGCAUAAUCUUUUCUGUAUUUUCUUUGUUGAAUUUGCGGUUGCGUCGUCGUGUCAAGUUGCUGGUCUUAGCGUCUAGUCCUUUAGAGUUUCGAGUUCUGUUCAUAGGUUGUCACGUCGUCGCUGCCAUAUAUCACCAUCGUAUCAUCAUCGUCGCUGCUGCCAUAGACCAGCACCACAUAUUCACCGCCAAUCCGAGUCCAUAUACGCCACCACAUAUCCGCCGCCAUCACGCCAAUCCGAGUUCACCUGCAACAUAUAUCCGCCACCAGUCCGAGUUCCACCAGAUUCAUCUCCGCCACCAGUCCGAGUUCCACCAGUUUCAUCUCCGCCACCAGUCCUAUUCCGAGUCUAGUAUUUUGUUACUCUGUUUUGGAUUUCCAGAUCACGCAAUACUCCGAGUCAUGACAGAGAAGGACUCUCCAACUUCCGUGCUACCCGCAGUAGAGAAAUAGUCUGGAAAAUUCUGGCUAGGCAGUUUUAGACCAUUUGCAGACUUUUUCAAAAAAAAUGUUGCAGAGCAAAAAAAAAGAGGAAAAAAGGAAAAAAAAGGAAAAAAAAAGAGAAAAAAAUUCAGAGUGUGCUCCUCCCUUGUUUACGUGCCGCGCCGUGAUUUUGUUGGUGUUCUAGGCUCGCGUCUCUAGCACAGUCUAGCCUAGGACCAGCACAGUACCGUCGUUGAGCGUUUAUUUAACUUUGAAUCUAUGAAUUAAUUAUUGCUAACCCUUUUUGCUACCGUAUUAAGCCUUCCUAGCUCCACAUACAUCUACGUCGUGUGUUUGACUCUCCCUCAUAAUCGGUCUAUCCAAGCUUUGAGAGUUUUGACUACAACGGUUGCCGAUCACCACCUGCUGCUGGGUAAGAACUGGUAAGAAUUUGAGAUUUGCUUGACGGGUUUGUGAUACACCACCACCACUUCUUAGUAGUCUGUAGGAUCAUAUUCUUGUGUGUUUCUAUUUGCUGCUAACCAUGGUAGGAUCACAAGCCGAUGAUACUGACUGGGAGAACCUGACAAACAAACAGCUACACGAUAAAUUUCAGCAAAUGAUGAGUGGACAGGUGCAAGAUAUGCUAAACAGAUUUGACGAGGCCAUGGAGAAGAUAGAUGGCAUGGAGAAGAUAUUCGAAACAAAGCUCUAUAACAAGUUUAAUGAAUUGCUCGUGCGUCUUCCACCACCACCACCCUCUGCACCUAACGUACCUCUCCAACAACAACAACAACGACGACUACCUCCACAUCGCGAAACAGCCCUCCGCCGAGCGAGCCGUGUCCCUCUUGCGUUUGGCCAAACUGUUGGUGCUGCUGUUGAUACUUCUGUGGCUCCUGCUGCUGAUGCGGAGGAGGAGGAUUAUGUGGGAGAUUACGAGGAUGAGGUUGAUCAAAAUCAGAACUACGUGCAACCACCUGCACCACAACCACCAGGUCGUCCACAUGCAAAUAAUCACAAUGGUAGGGCUCUCCCUCAGGUACGAGAUCAUGACCAUCUUCCUAAACUGAAAUUGAAUAUUCCACCAUUUGAGGGUAGAUAUGUUCCUGAUAUAUAUCUUACUUGGGAGUUAGAAACUGAACAACAAUUUACAUGUUUACAAUAUCCCGAGGAGAGACGGGUUCCCGCUGCUGUUUGUGCUUUCACUAGUUUUGCAUGUGUAUGGUGGUCUGAACAUUGUAGAUUAUAUCCUAUUCCAACUACUUGGGCUGCUUUGAAAACUGCUAUGCGUACUCGAUGGGUUCCACCAUAUUAUCAACGUGAAUUGCUUCAAAAAUUGCAGCGCUUAAGACAAGGGAAAAUUUUUGUAGAAGAAUAUUAUCAGGAAUUACAAACUGGCAUGAUUAGAUGUGUUAUUGUUGAGGAGAAUGAAGCUAUGCUUGCAUGUUUUCUGGGGGGAUUAAAUAGAGAGAUUCAGGCCAUUCUAGACUAUAAGGAGUAUACUAAUAUCACUCAUUUAUUCCAUCUUGCUUGUAAAGCUGAACGUGAAGUGCAGGAUCGACAAGCGGUGCGAACUAACUUUUCUGCAGGCCGACCUUCAUCAUGGACACCGCAUGCAUCUUCUAUUUCAACUGCACCAGCACCUGCCGGGCCACCUCCAGCUGUGAUACAAGAAAACAGACACAACCACCAUUAUCUGCCAAGAGCGCACCUGCCGGGCCUGCACAGAGUUCUUCUUCUUCCAUGGCAUCAACAGGGUACACAAGUGAUAUUAUUUGUCGUUGUUGUAAGGGAAGAGGUCAUUAUGCGAGAGAAUGCAAAUCUCAGUGUGUGAUUAUUGCUACCGAGUAUGGUGGGUAUGAGUCCGCUAAUGACUAUGAUGAGGAGACUUUGGCUCUUAUUACACGUGAAGAACAUGGUGGACAUGAUUCUGAUCAUGAGACGCAAUACAUGGCUCCUGAAGACGCUGACAGGUAUGAAUGUUUAGUUGCUCAACAUGUUUUGAGUGUGCAGGUCACACAAGCUGAGCAAAAUCAGAGGCACAAUUUGUUCCAUACCAAGGGAGUUGUGAAGGAACGUUCUGUGCGCGUCAUCAUAGACGGAGGGAGCUGCAACAACUUGGCUAGCAUGGAGAUGGUGGACAAGCUUUCUCUCACCACAAGACCACAUCCACAUCCUUACUACAUCCAAUGGUUCAACAACAGCGGCAAGAUUAAGGUAACACGUACUGUUCGUGUGCAUUUUCGUAUCUCUACAUAUGCUGAUUAUGUUGAUUGUGAUGUGGUAACUAUGCAAGCAUGUUCCUUAUUACUUGGUAGACCAUGACAAUUUGAUAAAAAUUCUGUAAACCAUGGUAGAAACAAUCAGUAUACUCUUGUUCAUAAGGAUAAAAAUAUUACUUUGCUUCCUAUGACUCCUGAUUCUAUUUUGAAAGAUAAUAUUAAUAGAGCUAAUAAAGCAAAACAAGAGAAGAAUAAGAGUGAAAAUCAGAUUGUGGCAAAAGAAUUUGAGCAACAAAUGAAGCCUAAUAAUAAACCAUCUCGUGUUGCUUCUGAAAUUAAAUUGAAAAGUGCAUGUUUAUUUGCCACCAAAUCUGAUAUUGAUGAGCUAGAUUUCAGCAAAUCUGUUUGCUAUGCUUUUGUGUGCAAAGAGGCAUUACUUUCAUUCGAGGACGUGCCUUCCUCUUUGCCUCCUGCUGUCACUAACAUUUUGCAGGAGUUCGCUGACGUCUUUCCACAAGACGUGCCACCGGGAUUACCGCCUAUUAGAGGGAUUGAGCAUCAGAUUGACUUAAUUCCCGGUGCUUCACUGCCAAACCAUGCGCCAUACCGUACCAAUCCAGAGGAGACGAAGGAGAUUAUGUGUCAAGUACAAGAGCAGCUCGACAAAGGAUAUAUACGCGAAUCCCUUAGUCCUUGUGUUGUUCCUAUUAUUCUAGUGCCAAAAAAGGAUGGUACAUCACGUAUGUCUGUUGAUUGUAGAAGCAUUAAUAAUAUUACUAUUUGUUAUCGUCAUCCUAUUCCUAGGCUAGAUGAUGCGGAACAUGCCUCGCUCAUCCCCAUGGACGUGCCUACAUCUUCCUCAACACCACUUGGACCCAUGACACGGGCCCGAGCUAAGGCUAUUGAAGAUAAGGUGAACUCGCUCCUCUCCAAACUUUCUCUUCCAACUCACGAGACAUGGCUACUACCUCAUUUGGAAACUCUGUGUGUGAUCAGGUGCCUGGAAGCGAGCCACGGAACAGCUACAUACAAGAGCCAAGACGGCGAGGACCCCAAGCAUGAUGGACAAGAAGAAGAGCUGCCGUGGAAGCUACAGGUGUCGAACGACCGACCUAGUCCGGACGUCCGACGAGUGCCAGGACACGGACGACCGAGCUUUCCGGACGUCCGGUACUUCGCCACCCGAACUAAAUCUACGGACGUUCGAAGCGGACCGGACGACCGGACGACAUGCAACCGAGCCGAAUCUACGGAUGACCGACGACCUCCGGAUGUCCGGACAGUCAUGAAGCUCCGGACGACCGACCAUCUCCGGACGUCCGGCGCGCCCAUGACAGAGCUGAGUCUACGGACUCCCGAGCAAGACCGGACGUCUGGACCGUCCCGAGCCUCCGGACGUCCGACGCCUUCUGGACGUCUGGCGCCUGUGUGACCGCACCUGCGGGCUGGAGCCCUUGUACCCCUUCACUUUGACUUCCAUUUGCACUAUGACUAUAAAUAGGUCGCCCCCUCCUCCUAGUUAGGGUUAGCAUUGGUUUAGCUCAUAUUUGUGUGAGAGCCUUGCUCAUCCACUUGGUUACUUCUCCUCGGAGCCCACGACCUCUUCGGAGAAGAUCCCCCAAGCGGAUUCAAGACCCCUUUCUAGGGAAGACUAUCAAGACCUCCGUACGGAGAAGAACGGUUCCUUUGUAUCCUUACCUUUGUUGUUUGUGGAUCAUAUGUUACUCUAUGUUGUCGGUGAUCUAGCACUCGUGUGAUUGAUUCUAUGUCGGUUUAGUGUUUUCUCUUCUUCUCCCCGUGUUUUCCCUCGAGUUAUUCCGCGUGUUCUUCGUGAUUCCCCGUAGGAUCCACUCCAAAUGUGAAAGAUCGUCCACAUAGGGUUCCACCCUACAUCAUCUUGGUAUCAGAGCCAGCUUGUCUCAUGAUAUCAUCUUGGUUUCAUGAGCCACGUUGAUCACGUUUUGGAGCCCCUACCCCGUGUUUUCUAGCUUGAUUUUGAUGUUUUUGUCCUAAAUCCGAAAAUUCCCCACCAAAAAUAGCCCCAAUUGUUUUGUGAUUUGUUGGUGAGUUGAGAUUUUGUUGGAUUUGGUCCAUGGAUUUGUGUUGCUACGUGUGGAUCUAGCUUCCCCCACCCUCCCCACCCUUUUCCAUCAGCCAAUCUACUCGAUUUCAACAUCACCAUCUUCUUCUUCCCCGGAAUUCUCGCAGUUCAUCUUCCCGAGCCCGAUUUUCACCCAUGCUCCGGACGACCGGACGACCGUAAAAGCCCGGACGUCCUUGAAACCCUGACGAAACUGAAUUUUUUCAGUUUGACCACUCCUCAACCCCACCUUCCACCACAACUCCCAAAGCCACAUACACCAACAUCUGCCCCGCUACCUCCUAUGUCGAUCUUGACACGUUUUGGUCUUUGAGAGUUUGGGUUGUGGUUUCCCGUAUCCUUUUGUGUUUCGGCUAUCUAGGUACGGUUCGACUUCAUCAACACCACGACUCAACUUCUCGAGGGUCUCAUCAUCGCCAAGGACGGUAACUUCGAUGACAUCUUUGUCAUAACUUGCAAUUGCAUUGAUAACCCACAUAGCUUACCCAUCGAGACUAGCGGUUGAGUAUUGCAGGCAACGCGACUUGUGCACAUUAGUGAUCAUACAACAUAGCAUACAUAUCAUAACAUAGUGGUGCAUAUCUUGGGAUCCGCUCGUGUGUCACAAAGUUGUCAUCGCAUACACAAUUGCUACUUUGGUUCGUGAGUUUUGCAUGAGAAAAUAGAUCAAAAGUGAAAGAGCCACCCAAGCUUUUAAGCAAAGAGGAAAGAUAAGCAAAGAGCUUAUAAGCAAGAACCAUAGAAUCAUACAACAUUAAGAUUCUCAUAUUCGAUCAUCUUGGAUCAUAGCACCGAAAUAUCAUACAUAUAGUAUACUUGGGACAGAGAUCAUGGCAUUUUUGCAUAGUAGGUUGUGCACAAGUUUGCGUGUCCGCCUAUUGUGCAAUCGUGCUAGCGUCUCUCUAGUAUUGUGCAACAAGAGCAUUUUUCAUGGUUUCCACAUUUUGGGCUCACUUUUGGAUUGCACAAUCCCAUUUAUCUAUUUGCGUGUGUGUUUCCGUGUACCCAUACUUGCUUGGUCUACUUGUUGCAUUUGCAAAUUUGUGAAUCUUUUCAACAUUAUUGAAGCUCACUUACUAUUGCAUCAAAUUUUGUGCCACCAUCCUAACCAAGAUCCACCAUAAAUUUUGUGAGAACCGACAAGAAUUGGUACCAAUAGUGCUAUUUCAUUGUCCGCAUUUGAGUGAACUUGAUUCAUCUUCAACUUCGGUCAAGGUAUAGUUGGUACACGUUCUUUUCCUUCUACCACUUACAUUUUGCUUGGAAUGAUGGAUAAGCCAAGUUCUUCUACCACUCCACCUCUCAUCGAGAAUGACGACGACAUGUCAUCAUUCAUCACCAAGAACCGGCUAUUUGGAGCUCAAAAAGCAUUGCACCAAGAGCAAAAAGCAAUGAGGGACUACUUUGACAACAAAUUCGACGCUCAAAAGCAAGAGAAUGAUGCAAGAAUGGAUGAGAUCCGCGCCUUCAUGAGGAAUCGGCGUCCUUCCACUUCUUCAUCCUCAAGACGGAGCCGCUCAAGUCGACACUCCGACGACACCUUCUCUGACUCAAGUACACCAUCAUCAAACACUCUUCGUCGAGCUGCGCGUCAAGACCGGCAAGCAUCUCGGAACCCGCUACAUGACAAGCAUUCACAAGAGCAAGUCGAUGAGAAAAUUCCUCGUCCUCAAUCAAACCAAGUCAUUUUUGCUCAAGCUCAAGAAUGGCAACGACUAAGGCGCGAAGAAGAAGAACGAGCCCGUCUACACCAAGAGGAACAAGACACCGAGGCUCAACGUCUUCAACAACAACAACAUGAAGCGCAAGCUCUUGAGGCGCAAUGUGCCCUUCGAGAUUCGAGCCGAGCCAUUGCCAACCGCAAUCGCGAGCGACACAAUCAAGAGGAAGCCCUUCGAGAAGAAAUCCAAGAGAGGAACUACCAACCGCAAGUGCAACGUCAAGUUCCCCAAGCUCCUCCACAAGCUAGUCAAGCUCCACUUCAACCUCAAGUUCAACAAGAGCAAGUUGAUCUUGGACUUCCUCCGUGCCAAGAGCAACAAGAGGAUGACUAUCCUCCACGUCAAGGGCGUCAUCAUCACCAUCGCCAACAACACAAUGAAGAGCAAUGCUAUGGCAAGCUCAAGUUCACAAUGGCCAAGUUCAAUGGAAGCAAUGAUCCGGAAGAGUACCUCUCAUGGGCAUUGAAGGUCGACAAAAUUUUCCGCUUGCACAACUAUGAGGAAGAGAAGAAGAUCGCUAUGGCAUCACUUGAGUUCCAAGAUUAUGUGCUCAUAUGGUGGGAACAAGUACUUGAACACCGUCAAGCAAGAGGUGAACCACCAAUCACCACUUGGGCUCAAAUGAAGGAUGUCAUGCGAGCACGCUUUGUACCAACCUACUACAACCGCGAUCUCUUCAAGAAGCUAAAACUCCUCAAGCAAGGAACAAAGAGUGUUGACGAAUAAUACAAGGAAAUGGAGAUAGCAAUGAUCCGAGCCAAUGUCACGGAAGAUGAUGAGCAAACAAUGGCAAGAUUUUUGAAUGGACUCAAUCAUCCCAUCAAGAAGAUCGCCGACUUCCAACCAUACUCCAACCUCAUUGAGCUCGUGCAUCAAGCAACCAAGGCAGAACGUCAAGUGCAAGAUGACUUCAAGUACGCCAAGUACUCAUCCAAGACCUACGGCUUCUCCAACAUCCAAGCUUCAAUGACUCCUUCAACAUCUACAUCAACCAAGCCUUCUCCAAGGAACGACGACAAGUCAAAUUACAAGAAAACUUCGGCAAGUUCAAGUCGUCUUCCUCCUACUACAAGCAACUUCAUGCCGCGUGCUUCAUCAUCUACUCCAACCGAUGAGACCGUCAAAACAAGCUCCUUCAAGUGUUUCACUUGCGGCGGCCGAGGCCACAAGUCCUUCCAAUUCACAAACAACCGCACCAUGAUCCUCAAUGACGAUGACACAUAUGACUCAAUGAGUGAAGAGGAGAUGGAAGCCCUUGAGCAAGUGGCCAUGCACUGGCGCGUGAACGAGGAUGAAGAUGAUCAAGUCUUUUGUGAUGAGGAUUCGAGAUCCGCUCUCGUUGUCUCCAAAGUCUUGACAUUUCAACAUCAACAAGCAGAAGACCAAUGAUGCCACAUCUUCCACACUAAGGCCGGCAUCAAUGGAAGGUCCGUCAAGGUCAUCAUCGAUGGAGGUAGUUGCCACAAGUUGGCAAGUGAAGAACUAUGUUCCAAGCUUCAAUUUGUCAAGAGGAAGCACCCGCACCCCUACAAGGUUCAAUGGCUAAGUGACUCCAGCACUAUAUGAGUCGAGCAUACGGUCCAAGUCUCCUUCAAAAUUGGUGCUUAUGAAGACACUUUGGAGUGUGAUGUGGUCCCAAUGACCGUUUGCCACCUACUUCUUGGUCAACCAUGGCAAUUCGACCGUGGUGUCAUCCACAAUGGGCGCACCAAUCACUAUAGCUUCAAAAUGAAAGGGAAGGAAUAUGUGCUACGACCUAUGUCUCCUAGUCAAGUGAUAGCCAACAAGCAAGCCACCAAUCAUGGAGAGAAGAGUGAAAAAGUGACACACCCAAAAGUGAGUGAGAGCCACAAGCCAAAUUUGAGCGCCUCUUCGCCUAGAGAUAAAAACCUCAUCCUAUUCGCCACCAAAAGUGAGAUAAGAGAAGUGUGUGAGAACCCAUCGAGUGUGAUGCACUUCGUCCUUGUGUGCAAAGAUGGAGAGCCAACAACUAACACCUCUCACGAGCUACCUUUAGUGUUUCAAUCUCUUUUGCAGGAAUUCAAAGAUAUUUUCCCCGAUGAGCUACCUCCGGGUCUACCUCCAGUACGAGUCAUUGAGCAUCGAAUCGACCUCAUCACCGGAGCGCCACUUCCAAACAAAGCUCCAUACCGUGUCAAUCCCGAAGAAACCAAGGAGAUUCAACGGCAAGUACAACAACUCAUCGACAAUGGUCAGGUACAUGAAAGCUUAAGCCCAUGUGCCGUUCCCGUUAUACUUGUGCCUAAACCCAACGGAAGUUUCCACUUGUGUUCCGAUUGUAGACCCCUAAAUGCCAUUACCGUUCGAUAUAGGCAUCCCAUUCCUCGCUUAGAUGAUAUGCUUGAUGAACUUAGUGGAGCCAACUUUUUCUCCAAAAUUGAUCUUAAAAGUGGCUAUUAUCAAAUCCGCAUUCAAGAAGGUGAUGAAUGGAAAACCGCUUUCAAAACCAAAUUUGGCUUAUAUGAGUGGUUAGUGAUGCCUAUGGGUUUGUCAGAAGCACCCGGAACUUUCGUGCGUCUUAUGCAUCACGUGCUUAGACCUUACAUUGGAGUCUUCGUUGUGGUUUACUUUGAUGAUAUCAUUGUGUUUAGCAAAACCAUGAAAGAGCACAUUAAUCAUGUUAAAUUUGUGUUGCAAAUCCUCCGCAAGGAAAGCCUUUAUGCGAACUUGAAAAAAUGCACUUUUGGCGUUGACAAAGUAGUUUUCUUGGGUUUUGUUGUCUCUUCCAAGGGUGUCCAUGUUGAUGAAACUAAGAUUAAGGCAAUUAAAACUUGGCCCCAACCCACCAAUUUGCAACAAGUGCGUAGUUUUCUUGGUCUUGCAGGAUUUUAUUGCCGCUUUGUGAAAAACAUUAGCACAAUUGCCGCUCCUUUGCAUGCCUUGAGUAAGAAGAAUGCACCUUUUCUUUGGGGAUCUUUGCAAUACACCACUUUUGAUGAGCUCAAGUCUUUGCUUACUCAUGCUCUAAUUCUUGCUUUGCCCAACUUUGAGAAAACUUUUGAAGUUCAUUGUGAUGCAAGUGGUACCGGAAUUGGCGGAGUUUUGAUGCAAGAAAAACGAGCAAUUUCUUAUUUUAGUGAAAAACUCUCCGGUGCUCAAGUUAACUAUCCCAUCUAUGACAAAGAAUUGUAUGCUUUAGUGCGUGUGCUACAUGUUUGGGAACAUUACCUUAGACCUCAUGAAUUUGUCAUCCAUACCGAUCAUGAAACGCUUAAGUACUUAAAAGGUCAAACUAAGUUGAACAAGCGUCAUGCCAAAUGGAGUGAAUUUAUUGAAUCUUUUCCUUAUGUGAUCAAGUACAUUAAGGGUAAGGAAAAUGUAGUUGCGGAUGCACUUUCACGCAUAUGCAUGCUUGUCACUCAACUUGAGUUACAUGUUAUUGGUUUUGAGCAUAUAAAAGACUUGUAUGAGCAUGAUCCUUCUUUUACUACUCCUUAUGCUAAGUGUUUGACACACACGUCUUGGGAAUGAUACUACAUAAAGGAUGAUUAUCUUAUGAGAGCUAACAAACUUUGCAUUCCCAAGUCUUCUCUUUGUUUGCUACUUUUGCAAGAGGCUCAUGGAGGCGGACUCAUGGGACACUUUGGACGCAACAAGACAUUCACCACGCUCUCCAAGAACUACUUUUGGCCCAAGAUGUUCCAUGACGUCUCACGCUUCACCAACCGUUGCUCUACAUGUCGCAAAUCUAAGUCUAAAGCUCAAUCCCAUGGUCUUUACAUGCCACUUCCCAUUCCUUAUCAACCUUGGGAAGACAUUAGCAUGGAUUUUAUACUUGGUUUGCCUAGAACUCACAAUGGCAAGGAUUCCAUCUUUGUUGUUGUGGACAGAUUUUCUAAUAUGGCACAUUUCAUUCCUUGCAACAAGAUAGACAAUGCUUCACAUAUUGCCAAUCUAUUUUGUAGGGAAAUCUUGCGACUUCAUGGAGUGCCAAAGACAAUUGUCUCGGACCGCGACGUCAAGUUCUUGAGUUACUUUUGGAAGACCCUAUGCGCCAAGCUCGGAAUCAAACUAUUGUUCUCUUCGGCAUACCACCCUCAAAACGACGGCCAAACGGAGGUGACAAACCACACACUCUCCACUCUACUUCGCGUGUUAAUCAAGAAGAACAUCAAGGAGUGGGAGGAAUGUCUACCCAUCGCCGAGUACGCCUACAACCGUGCAAGACAUUCGACGAACGGCAAGUCACCCUUUGAGGUCAUCUACGGCUUCAACCCGUUGUCCCCAUUGGACAUUCUACCUCUUCCUCUACAAGAGCGCACCAACCUCGACGCAAGUGCCCAUGCAAGCUACAUCAAGAAGAUGCAUGAACAUACAAGGCACACCAUCGAGCGCCAAGUACAACGCCUCGCGACCAAGCUCAACGUAAACAAGCACCCCAUGAUGUUCAACAUUGGAGACCUAGUGUGGCUACAACUUCGCAAGGACCGCUUCCCCAACGAACGCAAGUCCAAGCUUCUCCCUCGAGCCGACGGACCUCUCAAGGUGCUAGCACGCUACAACAACAAUGCUUCCAAGAUGGAUCUCCCACACGACAAGUACAACGUGAGCGACAUCUUCAACGUCUCCGAUCUCUCCCCGUACCAUGGUGAUGAGGAUUUCGAUCCGAGGUCGGAUCUUUCACAAGGGGGGGGGGGAGAUGAUGCGGAACAUCCCUCGCUCAUCCCCAUGGACGUGCCUAAAUCUCCCUCAACACCACUUGGACCCAUGACACGAGCCCGAGCUAAGGCUAUUGAAGAUAAGGUGAACUCGCUCCUCUCCGAACUUUCUCUUCCUACUCACAAGACAUGGCUACUACCUCAUUCGGAAACUCUGUGUGUGAUCAGGUGCCUGGAAGCGAGCCACGGAACAACUACAUACAAGAGCCAAGACGGCGAGGACCCCAAGCAUGAUGGACAAGAAGAAGAGCUGCCGUGGAAGCUACAAGUGUCGGACGACCGACCCAGUCCGGACAUCCAACGAGUGCCAGGACACGGACAAUUGAGCUUUCCGGACGUCUGGUACUUCGCCACCCGAACCAAAUCUACGGACGUCCGAAGCGGACCGGACGACUGGACGACAUGCAACCGAGCCGAAUCUACGGACGACCGAUGACCUUCGGACGUCCGGACAGUCAUGAAGCUCCGGACGACCGACCCUCUCCGGACGUCCGACGCGCCCACGAAAAAGCUGAAUCUACAGACUUCCGAGCACGACCGGACAUCCGGACCAUCCCGAGCCUCCGGACGUCCGACGCCUUUCGGAUAUCCGGCACCUGUGUGACCGCACCUGCGGGAUGGAGCCCUUGUACUCCUUCACUUUGACUUCCAUUUGCACUACGACUACAAAUAGGUCGCCCCCUCCUCCUAGUUAGGCUUAGCAUUGGUUUAGCUCAUAUUUGUGUGAGAGCCUUGCUCAUCCACUUGGUUACUUCUACUCGGAGCUCACGACCUCUUCGGAGAAGAUCCCCCAAGCGGAUUCAAGACCCCUUUCUAGGGAAGACUAUCAAGACCUCUGUACGGAGAAGAACGGUUCCUUUGUAUCCUUACCUUUGUCGUUUGUGGAUCAUAUGUUACUCUAUGUUGUCGGUGAUCUAGCACUCGUGUGAUUGAUUCUAUGUCGGUUUAGUGUUUUCUCUUGUUCUCCCCGUGUUUUCCCUCGAGUUCUUCCACGUGUUCUUCGUGAUUCCCCGUAGGAUCCACUCCAAACGUGAAAGAUCGUCCACAUAGGGUUCCACCCUACAUCACUAGAUGAUAUGCUUGAUGAAUUGAGUGGCUCUACAAUAUUCUCCAAAGUUGAUUUGCGUAGUGGAUACCAUCAAAUUCGUAUGAAAUUGGGAGACGAAUGGAAAACAACAUUUAAAACUAAGUUUGGAUUAUAUGAGUGGUUAGUCAUGCCUUUUGGGUUAACUAAUGCACCUAGUACUUUCAUGAGAUUAAUGAACGAAGUUUUACGUGCUUUCAUUGGACGAUUUGUGGUAGUUUACUUUGAUGACAUAUUGAUUUAUAGCUGAUCUUUGGAAGAACAUUUGGAACAUUUAUGUGAUGUUUUUAUUGCUCUACGUGGUGCACGUUUGUUUGGUAACCUUGGAAAGUGCACCUUUUGCACUGACAGAGUAUCUUUUCUUGGCUAUGUUGUUACUCCAUAGGGAAUUGAAGUUGAUAAAGCCAAGAUUGACGCUAUUGAGAGUUGGCCACAGCCCAAAACGGUCACACAAGUGAGGAGUUUUCUUGGCCUCGCUGGAUUCUAUAGGCGUUUUGUGAGAGAUUUCAGCACCAUUGCUGCACCUCUCAAUGAGCUUUACAGAGAAAGAUGUGCCUUUUCUUUGGGGUACCGCACAGGAAGAAGCCUUCACGGUAUUGAAAGAUAAGUUGACACAUGCUCCUUUACUCCAACUUCCUGAUUUUAAUAAGACUUUUGGGCUUGAAUGUGAUGCUAGUGGAAUUGGAUUAGGAGGUGUGUUAUUACAAGAUGGCAAACAUGUUGCAUAUUUUUCUAAAAAAUUGAGUGGGCCUAGUCUAAAUUAUUCUACUUAUGAUAAAGAAUUAUAUGCUCUUGUUCGGACUUUAGAAACAUGGCAACAUUAUUUAUGGCCCAAAGAAUUUGUUAUACAUUCUGAUCAUGAAUCUUUGAAACAUAUUAAAAGUCAAGCUAAACUGAAUUGUAGAUGUGCUAAAUGGGUUGAAUUCAUUGAGACUUUCCCUUAUGUCAUUAAACACAAGAAGGGAAAAGAAAAUGUUAUUGCUGAUGCAUUGUCUCGUCGCUAUACUAUGGUUUCACAACUUGACUUCAAAAUAUUUGGUUUGGAGACCAUCAAAGAUCUAUAUGUGCAUGAUGCUGAUUUUAAAUAUGUAAUGCAGAAUUGUAAAGAAGGAAGAAUAUGGAACAAGUUCGGCGUUAACGAUAGAUUUGUGUUUCGUGCUAACAAGCUAUGCAUUCCAGCUAGCUCUGUUCGUCUUUUGUUGUUGCAGGAGGCACGUGGAGGAGGAUUAAUGGGACACUUUGGCGUGAAGAAGAUGGAGGAUGUACUUGCUACACAUUUCUUUUGGCCAAAGAUGAGACGGGAAGUUGAGCGUUUCAUUGCUCACUACACUACAUGUCAAAAAGCUAAGUCACGACUCAAUCCUCAUGGUUUACAUAUGGCUUUUCCUAUACCUAGUGUUCCUUGGGAGGAUAUAUCUAUGGACUUUGUUUUAGGUUUACCUCGAACAAAGAAGGGGGGAUAGCAUAUUUGUUGUCGUGGAUAGAUUCUCGAAAAUGGCACACUUUAUAUCAUGUCAUAAAAGCGAUGAUGCUGUUAAUGUUGCUGAUUUGUUCUUUCGUGAAAUUAUUCGCUUGCAUGGUGUGCCAAAUACUAUUGCUUCAGAUCGUGAUACUAAAUUUCUUAGCCACUUUUGGAGAUGUUUAUGGGCUAAGUUGGGGACUAAACUGCUUUUUAGUACUAAUUGUCACCCCCAAACUGAUGGACAAGCUGAAGUAGUCAAUAGAACAUUGUCUACUAUGCUUAGGGCUGUUUUGAACAAUAAUAAGAAAAUGUGGGAGGAAUGCUUGCCUCAUAUUUAAUUUACUUAUAAUCGUUCAUUGCAUUCUACUACUAAGAUGUGCCCUUUUGAAGUUGUGUAUGGUUUCCUACCUCGUGCACCUAUUGAUUUGUUGCCUCUUCCAUCUUCGGAGAAGGUUAAUUUUGAUGCUAAACAACGUGCUGAAUUGAUUUUAAAAAUGCAUGAGUUAACUAAGGAAAACAUUGAGCGUAUGAAUGCUAAAUAUAAACUUGCUGUUGAUAAGGGUAGAAAACAUGUUGUGUUUGCACCUGGAGAUCUUGUUUGGUUACAUUUGCGUAAGGAUAGAUUUCCUGAUUUGCGCAAAUCAAAGCUAAUGCCACGUGCUGGUGGUCCCUUUAAGGUGUUGGAGAAAAUAAAUGAUAAUGCAUAUAAACUUGAGCUGUCUGCAGAUUUUGGGGUUAGUCCCACUUUUAACAUUGCAGAUUUGCAGCCUUAUUUGGGUGAGGAAGAUGAACUUCCGUCGAGGACGACUUCAUUUGAAGAAGGGGAGGAUGAUGAGGACAUCAAUACAAUUGUUACAUCCACAGCCCCUGCUGCUAUACAUACUGGACCAAUUACUAGAGCUCGCGCACGCCAACUAAAUUACUAGGCACUUUCGUUUCUUGGUAAUGAUUCUAAUGUUCAUGAGAAUAUGAUGUUGCCUAAAUUGGAUACAUUUGUUUUGCUUACAAAUGAAGGGCCUAGCUUGGAGAAGGAUGAACAUUGGAGCAUGAACAAGCAUGGAGAUUAUGGCAUGCGCAAGGGGAACAAGAAUGGAGUUACAAGUGAUGAUUUCAGGACUUUGAAGUCACCAUAAUGGGUGCAUGAAGCCUUGGACGAAAUAUACAAGAUUCCACUUCAUACAUUUCGUCCCGAGUCUAUUCUAGGUGCUGCGUCACCUUAUUAUUGGGCCAGGCCCAUGUAAUUUCGAAAUACAUAAGUAUAGGCUAUUUUUAGAGUCCGUAUGUGUGGGGAAACAAGAGAUAGGGUUGAUUUCCGACCCCUCCACCAAGGGCCAUGAAAUUCCCCCCUCUUCCUCCAUAUAUACAGCCCUUAGGGCAUCAUUUAGACUUUGGGUUUUGUUUAGAUUAAAAGUUCGCCACAGCUGCAACUUCGCGUACUUCGUUUGUGUUCAACGACCAGACAAAGGCGUCACAGAACCCCACCUUGAUCAAUAAAGCUUUCAUCUUAUAUUCGCAACAUCCAGAUUGCAAUCUAAGUUUCUUGCUUGUUCGUCGUUUGCUCGCAGGAAACAGACCCUCGUGGUCAGGUUGAUCAUGCUGCGAUGUGGUCAAUAACCUCUUGGAGUUGGUUUAGUGAUGAGGACAUGACUACCUUGGAUGCGACCAAAAAUAUUGCAUACAUGCAUAUUUGUCAGGUGAUUUGUAGUGCAAACUAUUCAAUAAUCUAUUUAUGUUAUCCAUAACAAAAAUACUUCACACACUUUUGUGUUUUGUCUAAUUGCAGGUGUAUGGGACAUUUGUGAUAUUCACAUAUGAAGAUAAGGGAGAAUGAGAUGUUUAAGUCUUGUUCAAAAAGUUCUCUCACGUCACUUUUGGGCCAAGAGAAGAUAGAGUCCCAGUCUCUCACGUUCUGGAUUCAGCUACGGACUACACAAACAUACCUGACUCAAAAUGCCAACAACUUUUUCAAACGGACACCGAAUUGGGUGAUUCUUUUUUUGUUGGAAUCUAGAUUUUGUUCUCUUUCCAGCCCAGUUGGAUUCACCUUCAAAUUCGUCCGGAGCGUCAAGAUAUCGACGAAACAAUCAUACGCUGCACCAGAAUCCGGGUCAAACAACAAGUCCAAAGGUGUUACAUCACUUCCACUUGGGCCCAUGAGCCUUGUACGACCUAGGGUUGGUUUUAGGAUGCCUUGGAAUGUUCUCCCACCUCCUUGGCCACCACCCCUUGCUCUUAUAUAAGUAGAUCCGUCUAGUAGCUUUUUCCUUGGGAUUUGUUUAGUUAAAAGUUAGCCAUUGCAACUUCGUGUACUUCAUUUGUGUCCAACGACCAGACCAAGACCGCUUAUGGAUCCCCACCUUUAUCAAUACUUCAUCUAUAUUCGCAAUAUUCAGAUUUCUUUAUCAUAUUCUUGCUUGUUCUUCGAUUGCUUGCAGGAAUAGACCUUCGUGGUCAGGUUGAUUGUGCUUCGGCGUGGUCAAUAACCUCUCGGAGUUGGUUUAGCGAUUGCUAAGGCGCAACGUCGUGCACGUUUGUAGUCGAAUCGUCAAAGUCCUAUCCACCAAAUCGAUAGUUAUCAUCUCAUCGAAAAAUUGGGACACCUCCGACUCUAUCAAGUGGUAUCAGUUUUCAGGUUGCUCGGUGAGAAAUUCCUAUUUUUCCUAGAUUAGAUUUAUUUUCUUACCUAUUGUCCAAGAAAAAGCCACAAAAAAAGUUAGAUCUAUUCAUCCUUUGUCCAAUCCAGUCUGAGCCUUUGCAAUUUUCUUUUCAUUAUUUGCAUUAUUGAAUUAUCGGUUGCAUCGUCGUGUCGAGUUGCUGGUCUUAGUGUCUAGUUCCUUUAGAGUUUCAAGUUUUGUUCACAUUAGUCACGCCGCCGCUGCAUCAUUAUCCCUUCUGUUGUCCACCAUCCCAUCCGUCAAUUUCCACCACGUGUUGCGCACUGUUCAUUGUCAUAAUCAUAGUUGAGGUCAUUCACAUCUUCGCCUGAUCCAAUCUACAUCUUGUCUAAUUUGUCUUGGAAAGAGGGAGAAAAAAAAGAAAAAAAGGAAAAAAAGAAAAAAAAGGAAAAAAAGAGAAAGAAAAGGAAAAAAAGUGUGAGGACAAAAAAAAGAGAGAAGAGAAAAAAAAACAAAAUUCAGAUCUAUCUCGACUCAAUCUCGUAGUUGAAUUCCGACUGCAAUCUGUUUUGUGCACUGUUCAGUAAAACAGGCAUAAGUUCCUCAUACGAAGUCCGUUUUGGCUCCACAAGUACUCAAAUUAAAGCUAUCGACUAGACGCAUCUGAAUAGUUACAAAAGCUAUUUCAAUAUUUGGCGUCUCAAAAUCAACUUCUAAAUAGGUCUUUUUUCCCUCCGAAGUUCACGCAUACAGUUUGUUCCAGUUUUUCAGGCCAGUAUUAGAAUUCUUUGACUCCUCAUAUCAAUUCGGAAUUGAGUGAUUCUUUUUGCAUUCGAAAGCUUGAGUUAGUAGCAAACUUUUCAAGAGGAAAGUUGGAGAUAGAGUUGUUAUAUAUCCUGCUUGGUUGUUGUUAUUCAUCAUUAUCUUUACUACCGUUGUGAUCUUUACUUAUAUCUUGUUGUCCAGAGCUACGUAUCCUUCAUUGAUGCUAGUUGUGCUAUGUCGUGACCUCAUUAGUGUUCUAGGCUGGUGUCUCUAGUCCAGUCUAGCCUAGGACCAGUACAAUACCGUCGUUGAGCGUUUAUUCAACAUUGCAUCUUUGAAUUGAUUAUUGCUAAUUUUUUGCUACUAUAUAUAGCCAACCCAACUCCACAUAUUUCUACACCGUGUAUACAUACAUUCCCCUGGCAAUCGCUUUACACAAUCUUCGGAGUUAUUUGACACCGCUGGUUGCCUGUCACCACUUGUCGCAUGGUAAGAACUUGUAAGAUAUUGAUAUUCGCUUUACUGUGAGCACGUUACAACCACAUCCUAGUAGUUCAUAGGAACAUUAUUCUCGAAUGUUGUUUCUUGUUUCUACUAAUCAUGACAGGUUCCGGAGAAAGAAGUUCUUGGACGACGAACACAUCUUCACCAUCACGAGAGUUGGGACAACACACACAAACACAUGGUCAGGUUAUCUAGCACAUGGUCAGGUUAUCUCUUUGCACAUAUGACACAUGUAUAAGCACAUAUGUUGCUUAAUCUGAAGAGUAACUUUCAUAUAUCAUAAAAUAUAACGCGAAAAGAGAUAACCUGACCAUGUGCUUGUGCGUGUUGUCCCAACUCUCGUGAUGGUGAAGAUAUGUCCGUCGUCGAAGAACUUCUAUCUCCGGAACCUGUCAUGAUUAGUAGAAACAAGAAACUAAAUUUGAGAAUAAUGUUCCUAUGAACUACUAGGAUGUGGUUGUAAAGUGCUCACGGUAAAGCAAAUAUCAAUAUCUUACAAGUUCUUACCAUGCGGUAGGUGGUGACACGCAACCAGCGAUGUCAAAUAACUCCGAAGAUUGUGUAAAGCGAUUGCCAGGGGAACGUACGUAUACACGGUGUAGAAAUAUGUGGAGCUGGAUUGGCUAUAUAUGGUAGCAAAACAUUAGCAAUAAUCAAUUCAAAUAUGCAAUGUUGAAUAAACGCUCAACGAUGGUACUGUGCUGGUCCUAGGCUAGACCGGACUAGAGACGCGAUCCUAGAACACUAAUAAAGUCACGGCGUAGCACAACUAGCAUCAAUCAAGGAUACAAAGUAGCUCUGGACAGCAAGAUAUAAGUGAAGAUCACAACGGCAGUGAAGAUAAUGAUGAAAAACAACUGCCAAGAAGGAUAUACAACAACUCUCUCCAACUUUCCUCUUGAAAAGUUUGAGCCAAUUUUCUGAUAAAUUUUCAAAGAAUUCUACUAACUCAAGCUUUCCAAUGCAAAAAGAAUCACUCAAUUCGGAAUUGAUAUGAGGAGUCAAAGAAUUCUAAAACUGGCCUGAAAAAUUGGAACAAGUUGUGUUCACGAACUUCAGAGGGAAAAAAGACCUAUUUAGAAGCCGAUUUUGAGGUGUCAAAUAUUGAACUAGCUUCUGUAACCAUUUAGAGGCGGCUUGUCGCUAGCUUUAGUUGGAGUACUCACGGAGCCAAAACGGACUUCGUAUGAGGAGGAUACACCUGUUUUACUGAACAGUGCACAAAACAGAUUCCAAUCUGAAUUUGGGUACGGGAUUGAUUCUAGAUAGAUCUGAAUUUUUUUUCUUCUCUCUUUUUUUUCUCACACUGUUUUUUCUUUUAGUUCUCUCCUUUUCUUUUUCUUCUCUCUUUUUCUUUUUCUUCUUUCCUUUUUUUCUUUUUUUUCUCUACCUUUUUUUUCUCCCUCUUUCCAAGACAAACUAGAUAAGAUGCAGAUUGGAUCAGGCGAAGAUGUGAAUGACCUCAACUAUGAUUAUGAUAAUGAACAGUGCGUAGCAUAUGGUGGAAAUUGAUGGAUGGGAAGGUGGACAGCAGAAGGGAUAAUGAUGCAGCGGCGGCGUGACUAAUGUGAAUAGAACUCGAAACUCUAAAGGAACUAGACACUAAGACCAGCAACUCGACACGACGAUGUAUCCAAUAAUUCAAUAAUGCAAACAAUAAAAAGAAAAUUGCAAAAGCUCAGACUGGCUAGGACAAAGGUUGAAUAGAUCUACCUUUUUUUGUGGUUUUUUGUUGGACAAUAGGUAAGAAAAAUAAAUCUAAUCUAGGGAUGACUGGAAAUUCUCACCGAGCAACCUGAAAACUGAUACCACUUGAUAGAGGCGGGGUGUCCCGAUCUUUCAUGAGAUGAUAACUAUCGAUUUGGUGGAUACGACUUUGACGAUCCGACUACAAACAUGCACGAUGGUGCGCCUUAGCAAUCGAUAAACCAACUCCGAGAGGUUAUUGACCACGCCGGAGCACAAUCAACCUGACCAUGAAGGUCUAUUCUUGCAACCAACCGAAGAACAAGCAAGAAUAUGAUAAAAGCAAUCUGAAUGUUGCGAGUAUAUAUGAAGUAUUGAUAAAGGUGGGUAUCCAUAAGCGGUCUUGGUCUGGUCGUUGGACACAAACGAAGUACACGAAGUAGCAAUGGCUAACUUUUAACUAAACAAAUCCCAAAGGAAAAGCUACUAGAUGGAUCUACUUAUAUAGCAGCAAGGGGUAGCGGCCAAGGAGGUGGGAGGACGUCCCAAGGCAGCCUAAAACUAACCUAGGUCGUACAAGGCCAAUGGGCCCAAGUGGAGGUGACGUAACACCUUUGGACUUGUAGUUUUACUCGGAUUCUUCUGCAGCAUCAGAUUGUUUCGUCCAUAACUCAACGCUUCAGACGAAUUUUAAGGUAAUUCCAAUUGGUUUGGAAAGAGCACGAAAUCUCCUUUCCAACAAAAAAAGAAUCACCCAAUUCGGAGUCUGUAUGAAAAAGUUGUUGACAUUUUGAGUCAGGUAUAUCUGUGCAGUCCGAAUCUGAGUCCAGAACGUGAGAGACUUGGACUCUAUCUUCUCUUGGGCCAAAAGUGACGUGAGAGAACUUUUUGAACAGAAAAUAAACAUCUCUUUCUUCCUUAUCUUCAUAUGUGGAUUGUACAAAUGUCCCAUACACCUGCAAUUAGACAAAACACAAAAGUGUGUGAAGUAUUUUUGUUCUGGAUAACAUAAAUAGAUUAUUGAAUAGUUUGCACUAGAAAUCACCUGACAAAUAUGCAUGUAUGCAAUAUUUUUGGUCAUAUCCAAGGUAGUCAUGUCCUCAUCACAUUCCUACAAAAAAAAUUCUGCCACUUAUACUUUAUGUUAUGAUAUUCUAAUCAGAUUGGAUGGCAAAGAUUUCUCAUUUUAUCUCCUUUCUAUGAAUGUAUUAAAGCCUUAAUAUAAUAUAAUAUACUAGAAAGUUUGACUUUACUUUUAUUUAGAAUAGUGUGCUUACUUUAAUUUCUCAGAAUAAUUUGAGGGUUCUUUUUUAUUUCGGAUCGGAGUAGUAUAAUAUCUAGAAAAUUCAGUAUUUCAUUGUGGAAUUCUAAAAUAAAGUAAGUCCCUUUUUUAAGUACAUGCCAAUCUAGUUAUCCACCUCUCCCCAUAUCCAUGCUUUUCUUUUAUCGUAAUUUCACUUAGGUAGGCCAAGAUAGUCAGGUUAUACUCUAUAUCAGAGCAAAUUUCCUUUUUUAUUCAAGAUAUUUAAUUUAAUACUUUGAAAAAUUAAAGCAUGAUUCUCCAUAGAGAUAUGUACAUAAAGGGGAUCUUUGGAUAAUAAUGCUGUUUGGACCUAAAGUUUACCUAUACACGGAUUAAGCAUAAGGCCAUAAUAUUUUAUUAUGCCAUUGAAGGGGGGGGGAAGAUAAUACCGAUUUAAGAGUAGUACACUACUGCAAUAAAAAAAAGAAUUCUAGUUAACGGUUCCAAUUUGUUCUGAAUUUUGCGGCCUAUGAAUAGUAAUCCAAUUUUUCUUCUUUUUCAUCUCAAUAGAAAGAAAUGGGAAGUUUUAUUGUGUUAACAAUGUAUGUUUUAAGAUAGAAUCUAUUGAGGAGAAUAAUAGAAACUGGAUCAAAAAAAGCAGGAAUAGAUUUUUUGAAAAAGAUUGGAAAAAAGUAAGUAGAAUUAUAUUCAAAAUAAAAGAAAGGGUCUUUUCGUAAGAAAACGUGCAUGAAUACUUGCUGUUUUCUAGAUUUUUGAUCGGAUUUUUUGGCGGCAUGGCCAAGCGGUAAGGCAGGGGACUGCAAAUCCUUUAUCCCCAGUUCAAAUCUGGGUGCCGCCUGAUCAAUAAAAUACUUAGGGUUUUUUAUAGUGUUGAUCGAAUUCGAUAAAUUUUUACUUCGCAUAAGUUCGGGCAAGAGAGUAACUAGGCCUGCCGAUACUGGGUUUAGAGAAACCAUACCAUAGUUCUAUCCUCAAAGUAGGGUUAGGAUUUGUUUUGACGGUAGUGGCCAAAAUGGUUAUUAAUAGGAGUGAGGUAGCUUUUCCUUAUUCUUUUAUUAUAUGAAUUUGAAUUGGUUCUUAAUUGUGAUUCCAUUUGAUAAUUUUAAAAUACGAGGAUAAGAUGUCAUAUAUCUUGGUAUCCAAAGAAAGGUCCCUAAGGGGCAUUCUUUUUUUUCAAUCUAAGAUUCAAGAAGGGACUCCAUGAAAGAAUAUCAAGACUUACUAAUUAUUAUACAUUUUUUAUCGUACAUCUUAUGUUACCUACAUACACUAAAGUAAGGACUACUUAAUUCUAACGAGAAUCAGAUUAAAUAGCUCGAUGAAAAAUCAGUUUAGGAGUUGUGUUAUGGAUAAAGUCUCUUCAUUCUUUCAUAGAAUGAUACAAAGCAAGGUUGUAGGGUUUAGGUCAAAAAUAAACAUAGGUAAGGUAGGUAUCCAAUAAAUAUUUAUCUAUCGAUAAUUUUAUGGUAUAUUCGGGCAUCCUUUGCUUAAAAAAAGAGUAACAAAAGGAAUAAAAAAUCUUCCUAUUCCCGCUUCUUCUAUGCAGGACAUCAUUCCCGUACUCUUUCUUUUUUAAGGAAAAAAGGGCUAUAGUAUCGUAUUUUUAAUGCUCUCUAAUUCUACCAGAAUUCCUAUAAGAAUUUGUUAGGAGUAAAUUCCUUGAACUGAUUGAUCCAUGGCCUUAGGGCGGAAUCCCUUUUGACUCUGUACCCUUGAUUCCACUAUGAUUAUUUAUCAAUAGUACAAUAAUCCCUUCAUAGAAAUAGGAGACAUAAUUUAGAUGGAUAUAGUAAGUCUCGCUUGGGCUGCUUUAAUGGUAGUCUUUACAUUUUCUCUUUCACUAGUAGUAUGGGGAAGAAGUGGACUCUAGGGAUACUACUAAUUGAUUAAGUAAUCAAAUUGUUGUAUCAAUUCUUUUCUUUAACAUUUCGCAUUAAUCAUUUUGUCAAAUGUUAUUCUUUAAUCUAUUUCUUUAGUUUUGUUUCACUCCUGUAAGAAACUCUUGUAUUGUAAGUUGUAAGAAAGAGCCAUUAUACCAAUUCAGAAUUUCAACUAGAAAUGACGAAUGGUACAAAAAGUUCUAUACAUAAGAAAAUUAGACCUUCUUCCAUGGAACUAUUCACGGCAUAUCACACAUUUUCCAUUUCCUUUUACUUUUUACUAUAGUCUAUUCUUACUAUUAUUUUUCUUUCCUUCCAUGGAUUCUUUGGUCAAGAAUUGUCUUAAUUUUUUUUAUUUUGACCUGAUUGAAAUUAAGUGGAUGCAAUGAAAAAAGAAAUUGAAUUAGACUACUUAACUAUUUCAAUCUACUAAUCUAUUCUAUUCUACGUAGAUUCAAAGAUAAUAUAAUAGAAAGAAUCUAAAGUGUCGUAGAAAAAACUAUAUGUAGUUCUUUCUACCACACUUUAAGAUUCCAACCAGAUCCUUUCAUUUAAGACUUGGAUUUUUUUAUUUAAUCCCUUUUUAAUUUCUUCAAUGAUUAAUUGGAAUUCCAAUUAAUUAUUUUGGCUGACUGUUUUUACAUAAAUAAUAAGUAAAAAAGAAGUAGGAACUAGAGUAAACAGUGCAGUAGCAAUAAAUGCGAGAAUAUUGACUUCCAUAACCUCUUUAUUUUUUAUUUUCACAAUAACUCGGGAUGUAAUCCCAUGGAGAGGAAAAAGGGGUAUCUUGUAAAUUCAAGGGUAGGGCUUGCAUUCUGAUAAUACUGAAUCAAUUGAAUAUUAUGAAUAUUGGAUCUAUCAAAUCAAUUCAUGGAUAAGAGUUAUAUUUCACGGAUGAGAGUUAUAUAGUAUAACAUAGGAAGAUCCUCUAUCCACACUAAGACCAAAAUGGGUUUUUUGAUUGGAUUAGGAAUUCCCUCUUUUUUAAUCCUUUUCUACUUUUUCUUUUCUAUAUCUCUAACCCAUGAGCUUUCUUAAUCUUAUACUUUCUUAAUCUUAUACAAUUUCCCUUCCUUUUUCUUAUAGUUAUACACACAAUUAUGUAUGUAUUAUAUGACCAACUUUCUAUGGGUCACAUAGACAUCCAAAUAAGCAGUAGAAGUGAGAUGGGGAAAAGAGGUCUGAAAUAAAAAGGGAAUAUGAUUUAUGUAUGGAUUCCGGUAAAAUACCGGUACUCUAUUCCAUAAGAGUGGAAUAGGAAAUUAAGAUGAGGAUGGUAUCAUCAUAAAGAAAGAUAGAGUAAUAUAAUAUCCUAAAUUCUACUAAUCCACAUAUCGUAUGUGUGUCUUUCUUUAUCUUUAUCGAUCGGGAGUAGUGAAAAAAAUUCUUAUACGCCUUCCCUGCCUCUUUCAUGAGAGAUGCAAAAUAAAAAAGUGAAGUAAGGGUGCCCUAUGGGUAUUUAAUCUUCCUCCCUGCCCCUUUUUUCAUGGCAAAAGGAAAUAUAAAUUUCUCCAUUCAUUGAACCCUAGUUCGGGACUGAUGGGGCUCGAACCCGCAGCUUCCACCUUGACAGGGCGGUGCUCUGACCAAUUGAACUACAAUCCCCGCGGGGUGUAUGGCAUACCCAUUCUUAAAUAGAACCAUAAGAAGAUUCGAUUCGUCUUUCGUACUCUAAGAAAUGGACGAAUCAUAUACUACAUACCCACAUAUUAUACGCGGGUAUAGUGAGAGUGACAUAACUAGUAUGUCGUGAUUUUUUAUCAGUAAAAAUGGAUAAUAAUCCAACCUUCAAUAAGAAAAACUCUUUUGUUUGUAAGCAAAGAAUGAGAGAGAUAUGGAUUAGAAAAAAAUCCCUUUUUUCUUUAUCUUUUAUUUCUAUAGAUCAGACAUUUUGUUUUCUGGAAGAAAAACAAAAGGAUUUAGUUCAUAUUCACGAAGCCCUAGAUUUUUGGUUUGGGCCGAGCUAGAUUUGAACCAGCGUAGACAUUGUCAACGAAUUUACAGUCCAUCCCCAUUAACCACUAGGGCAUCGACCCAGGAAGAAUUUAUUCUAGGGUUUUUGCUAAUCUAUGAUUAACCUCCUUUCAUAAUACUCCCUACCCCUAGGGGAAGUCGAAUCCCCGCUGCCUCCUUGAUAGAGAGAUGUCCUGAACCACUAGACGAUAGGGCCAUAUACAACCGCUCGUGAUUAUACUCUAAUCAUAGUAUGAGCAGUUUUUUGGAAUUGUCAAUAUACUCGGAAAGUAUAAAUAGAUCCAAAGCAAAGAGUUUUUCCAACUUUUCUGUUAUGUUUUCAUCUAGGAUUUUUUUAGUUGAUUGUUAUAGAUUAAUUCUCCGUGCUUCAUUUAGUGUUCAGACCAAAAAUGCAUCCAUCCCGCACUAAGUCAUAAAAUUCUCUAAAAAUAUAGAGAAAGUUUCAAAAACAAAGAAAAAAGUGAAUCAAUUUAGUAGAAAAGUACUCUAUCAGAUUCGAACCAAUGACUUAUGUCUUAGCACGAGAUUACUCUACCACUAAUUUAAAAAUCCCUUUAUCGGAUUUGAACUGAUGACUUAUGCCUUACCAUGGCAUUACUCUACCACUGAGUUAAAAGGGCUUUUUAUUUAAUUCAAAAAUUAGCCACUUGGAUUUCCCAUUAUGGGUCCACUGCAUAAUGUACAUAUUAUAUAUAUAAUAUAUAGAGAUAGAGAGAGAGACAUUAUGUAGAUAUUGUAUAUGUAUAUAUCGAUAUUUUGAGAGCUCAAAAUAAAAUUAAUAAAAAACAUACCCUACAUAACAUAUCCAACUCUUCUUGGUUCAGGGUUUUCCGUUUCUGAAGACUAGUAAAAUAGGCGGAUUCUGGAACCCCAAGGAUUCAAUGGUAUACGGAUAUGGAAAAUAUAAGAUUUCCGAUCCUAGCGGGAAAAGGCGGGGAACAGAUACCCAAUAGGAUAUAGGAUCCUUGGGAGGAACUUUUGGUAAUGGCCUUGAUCCUCUAUGCUAUUUUUUAUUUGUUCUUAGUUCUAUUGAACUUUUUUCAUUCUUUUAAACAAGAAUCUAAUAAACUAGAAUUGAGUCAGUGGAAAAAGGAGAGAGAGGAAAGUGUUACAUGGAGAGAGUCGACUAAUCAGAGACUUUUAGGAUCUUCUUUACAUCAGGUAAAUUUGUCGUCCCUGUCCGUUUUUUUCUUUAAGUUACGACUCUUUGCUGCUUACUUCUAUCAAGCCAUAGGGAAAGUCUAUGAUGAAUUUGGAAAACUCAUCUCACUCUUACUCUAUGGCUCGGACUUAAUGGGGGAAGAAAACAUCUUCCAGAAUUUCUUUUUUGUUCAAUUCUGGACAAAAAAGAAAAGGAAAAAAGGAAUUUAUAGGGACAGUGUUACCCCCUAUAUCCCCCAGUUUAUAUUGUAGGAAUAAUAAAACAAUUUAGCAGUCUGACACACUUACGUCCUUGCAAAGUAAAUAAUUAUUAUUGUAGUCGUAACCGUAGAAUAGGAUCCUAAUCAAAAUAAAUACAUUUGGUUCAGGCGCUAUUAGCAUGGUAAGAAAAGAUUUUUUUUAUAGACCAGAGGGGCUAUCUAAAUCCUAAAGUAAAGGCGAGCGAUCGAUUAUAAGUACCAACGGCUCGGUGUCAUGAACCUUCUCCAUCUGAUUCAAUAAGGGGGAAUUAGCCUUCUUGUCAAAUGGCUAUCCUUGACAAAGGGUACCAUUUAUACCAUAAUCUACAAUGUAGCGGGUAUAGUUUAGUGGUAAAAGUGUGAUUCGUUCUAUUAAUAACUGAAUUUGAAAUGAUAUACUUAAGGCAUCCUUAAGUUUUUUAUUUUUAUAUUAUGAUGAAAACAUUAGUUCUCAUAAAGGAUUAAAUCCUUUUCCUCUCAAUAGCAUAUUGAGGAAGAAUAUACAUUAUGGCGAUUUGUAUCCAAAGACUAGUUAAAUUCAAUCCAAAAUAAGAAUUGGAUUAAGAGUACAGAGUCGCGAAGCAUAAUUUUGCAUUGGAUUAAGUAUUCCAAUUUUGAAAAUUUGAGUAAAGGAUCUAUGGAUGAAGAUACAAAAAAGUUGAUUUCCAAUCGUAACUAAAUCUUCUUAAAAUAAGGAAUAAGGAAGCCAAAUAGCUAAAAAACGAUAGUUUUGGUUUAAUAGAACCAUCCGUAUAUUGUUUUAGCUCGGUGGAAACCCAAUUCUUUUCCUCAAGAUCUCUUGAAUGAAAUUAGGGAACGAAGUAAGUGGAUUAGAUCGAUUUAGAUAGAAUUUCUAUCUCCUACUCUAUAAGGAUCAUAUAGAAAGCCGAGAGCUUUGGUUCCAUUCAAAUAGAAAAGCUGACAUAGAUGUUAAGUGGUGAGAAUAUCCAUAAAGGAGACGAAUGAAAUCAAAAUAUCAUGUUCGGUUUUGAAUUAGAGACGUUAAAAAUAAUCAACCAACGUCAACUAUAAGCCCUAGCCUUCCAAGCUAAUGACGCGGGUUCGAUUCCCGCUACCCGCUCCAUUCUGUAUAAAAGGAGUAUUCUAUUUGUCUAGACAUGUUAGAGGCUUGUAUUCAAGCCUUUUUUGUCCACCAGUUUCUGGUACUCCAGAGCGGAGGAGAGCAGUUUGGUAGCUCACGAGGCUCAUAACUUUGAGGUCACGGGUUCGAUUCCCGUCUCCGCACUUAGCAGUCUGUAUAAAAGGACUAUUCUAUUUCUCUAUAUAUGGUAGAGGGGCAUAUCCAACCCUUUUUUUAUUCAUUAGCUCCCGGCCCUAGAGGGCAAAAUUGAGCAAUUUACGAAGUCACUUGCCUUCAAAAAAGGAAGGCGCAAGGCUUCUCCCUACCCUGCAGAAAAUAAAAAUGAAACGAAAGGGACAAUCUACCUCUCCCUUCCCUUUAAAAACAGUUUGCCCGUUGUUUGUCCCAGUUAAUACCCAAUUUUUGGAGCUCUAUUGGUGAGUUCUAUUUCUGCCUCCGGAGCGCCCUCUUUUUUGAAUGGGAUGCAAAGGAAGGGUGAGAUAGUAAGGGAUACGGCACUAGACUAACACCUAAUUAAUACUUAAUUUAAUAUAAGUAGUUAAACAGUUAACUAGACUAAACUUUUUAUCAUAGUACUUUGAGAAAUUAAGCGGGCGAGCGGUGGGAAUCGGACCCGUAUCUUCUCCUUGGCAAGGAGAUAUUUUACCAUUGAACUACGCUCGCUACGGUAUAUAUUUUAUAGUGUAUAUCCGCCUGGGUCGACCUUCUAUGUCUGGGUCGACCGUUUCAUUUCAUUUUCUAUUAUAUUAGAGUUUUCCUUUUUUUACUAUCUGUCAAUGAAUAUUCUAAUGGGAAUGGAAUUUCAUAAUACUGAAAGAGAAAAGCGAGCAAUUCGGAACGCAAAUUGCAUUUUAAUACGUCUCACUAUUCUAAUUUUUUUAGAAGAAAUGGCCUUUAUUAUUUCUUUUUUAUGGGGUUAAUAAAUAUUAACCAAAUUUAAUUUAAGAAAUGAGAGAAUUCAGAAUAGCUACGAGAAAGACUAGUCCAAUCCAUAAUGAUGUACCAAAAAAUACAACAUUUUUAUUAUUUGACCAACCAUCAGGAGAAGCAAAUACAAGGGGUACACUAAUUACUAAGACUGAGGAAGUCGCAAUUAAUGCAAAAACAGCUAAUUGGAAAGCAACAGUCAUAUUUCUAAUCCUGCAAGCCACCAUCAAAUAAAGUUGACUACAUAUUUGAUCCCUCACUUAACCAAAAUUGUAAAAAAAAUACAAGAAGUAGGAGGGGUUUAAUCAUGAAUCCAUUGAUUCUUCUCUUUAAUUCAAAUUUAUUACUUAAACCGCUUUUUUAUUUGGAUAUGGGGGUGAGAAGAGAUUAUUUACUCUUUAUUUCAGAAGCAGGUAUAUCGUAUCUUGUAUCCGUGUAUACAGUAUACAGAGAUAUAUCGAAAAGGAACUUGUAUCUGAUAUCUUUCUAGAGGCUAAUAAAUCUUUUUAUUUUUUAUAUGGCUAUGUUCUAUUUGUAGGAGUAAAAUAAGGAUUAGGCCGUGGAGAGAUGGCUGAGUGGUUGAUAGCUCCGGUCUUGAAAACCGCUAUAGUUCUAGGAACUAUCGAGGGUUCGAAUCCCUCUCUCUCCUUUUGCUUAUUGAAUACGUUUGUUUCUUUCAUUUUUUUUUCUGUCCCUUAUCUUUCUUUCAUAAAAAGGAAUGAAUGGCUCGGCUAGAUGGAAUAACCGAGCCAGAACAGAAAAAAAGUAGAACAGGUAUAAAUAAGAAAAUCUUAGUUAAGAGGGUUCAUGUAAAGAACAGGUUCCAAAUCACGAUCGAUUCCCUUUUCAAAACCUACUGCAGCAGCUCAGGCUCUUCCUGCAUGCCAUAAAUGGCCCACAAAAAAGAAGAAUCCUAGAACAAAAUGAGAAGUUGAUAACCAACUUCUAGGAGAGACAUAAUUAACUGCAUUGAUCUCGGUAGCUACGCCACCCAUGGAAUUUAAAGAGCCUAAAGGAGCGUGGGUCAUAUAUUCUGCUGAGUGUCGUUCUUUCCAAGGUUGUAUGUCUUUUUUCAACCUACUCAAGUCCAAACCGUUGGGGCCCCUUAGAGGUUCUAACCAUGGAGCACGAAGGUCCCAAAAACGCAUAGUUUUCCCUCCAAAGAUAACCUCCCCAGUUGGGGAACACAUUAGAUAUUUACAUAAACCCGUGGGUCCUUGAGCGGACCCCACAUUAGCUCCAAGACGCUGGUCUCUAACUAGAAAAGUAAAUGCUUGAGCUUGAGAAGCUUCUGGCCCGGUGGGUCCAUAAAACUCACUCAGAUAAGCUGUAUUAUUGAACCAUACAAAACAACAAGCGAUAAAACCAAAGACAGAUAAAGCAGCUAAACUAUAAGACAAGUAAGCUUCUCCAGACCAUACAAAUGCACGGCGAGCCCAUGCAAAGGGUUUGGUUAAAAUAUGCCAAAUUCCACCAAAUACACAAAUAAAACCCAACCAUACAUGCCCACCAAUUAUAUCUUCUAAAUCAUCUACACUAACAAUCCACCCUUCUCCACCAAAAGGAGAUUUUAGUAAAUAACCAAAUAUAACACUGGGACUAAGGGUCGAAUUGGUAAUUUUUCUUACAUCUCCCCCCAGGGGCCUAGGUAUCUUAUACACCGCCAAAAUAAAGAGCCUUGAGUACUAGAAGAAAAGCACCUAGACCUAACAAAAUUAAGUGAAUACCCAAAAUUGUAGUCAUUUUAUUUCUAUCUUUCCAGACAUAAUCAAAGAAUGGAAAAGAUUCCUCAAGAGUCUCGGGUCCCAGAAGCGCGUGAUAAAUGCCACUGAAGCCUAAGACUGCGGAGGAAAUUAGGUGAAGUACGCCAGAUACAAAGUGCGGAAAAGUAUCUAGAACUCCCCUCUGGCCCUACUCCCUAACCUAGAGUAGCUAAGUGUGGAAGUAAAAUCAACCCUUGUUCAUACAUGGGCUUUUCUGGUACGAAAUGGGCCACUUCAAAUAGGUUCAUUGCUCCGUCCUAGAAUACGAUUAAUCCGACAUGGGCUACAUGAGCUCCAAGUAGUUUACCGGACAAAUUGAUAAGUCUGGCAUUCCCAACCCACCAAGCAAAGCCGGUGGUUUCUUGGUCACGACUAGCUAAAACGAAAGUUCCAUUAAAGAGCGUUUCCACGUGGUAGAACCUCCACAGGGAAUAUAAGAUUUUCAUGAGGCUGAUCCUGAGCUGCCAUCCACGCACGAAUACCCUUGUUUAAAAUUCAGGAUCUUCUGCUGCACGGAUUUCCUAGGAAACAAAGUCAUAGGCACGUAAGUUCAGAGCCAAGCCAACUACGCCAAUAGCACUCAUCCAUAAACCGAUGACGGGUACAAAUAGCAUAAAGAAAUGUAACCAACGUUUAUUGGAAAAAGCAACACCAAAGAUUUGGGACCAAAAGCGGUUAGCAGUGACCAUUGAAUAAGUUUCUUCAGCUUGAGUUGGGUUAAAAGCACGGAAGGUAUUUGCACCAUCACUGUCCUCAAAUAGAGUGUUUUCUACGGUCACUCCAUGAAUAGCGCAUAGCAGAGACGCACCUAAUACUCCGGCAACUCCCAUCAUAUGAAAUGGGUUCAACAUCCAAUUAUGAAAUCCUUGGAAGAAAAGGAUGAAUCCAAAUAUCGCUACUACGCCAAAACUCGGCGCAAAGAACCAACCAGAUUGCCCCAGUGGAUAAAUAAGGAAUACAGAAACAAAAACAGCAAUUGGACCAGAGAAUGAGAUUGCAUUAUAAGGCCGCAAUUGAAUAGACCGAGCAAGUUCAAAUUGGCGUAACAUGAAACCUAUUAGUGCAAAAGCCCCAUGGAGAGCUACAAAAGUCCAUAGACCGCCUAAUUAACACCAACGAGUAAACUCUCCUUGUGCUUCGGGCCCCCAUAGUAGCAACAAAGAGUGUGCUAAACUAUUUGCAGGGGUAGAAACUGCUGCGGUUAAGAAAUUACAACCUUCCAAAUAGGAACUAGCCAAUCCAUGGGUAUACCAAGAAGUUACAAAAGUUGUCCCUAUAAACCAACCCCCUAAAGCGAAAUAAGCACAAGGAAAGAGCAAUAGGCCAGACCAUCCUACAAAAAUGAAACGGUCCCUUCGUAACCAGUCAUCCAUAGUAUCAAAUAGAUCAUUUUCUUCUUUAGGAAUUCUACCAAGGGCUAUAGUCAUAGUGAUCCUCCUAUUCAAUUACUUCAACCAUUUCCGAGCACCUCAUAUCACUUUCAAAGGCAUAUGAUAGUUUUAUCAUCUGUGGACGAUUUCUUUGUCGUUCAAUGCCCUUUUUCAAUGGUCUCGAAGAGACAAAUUUCCCAUUUUUAUCUAUGGAGUCACAGCCGAGGUCGUGGUAAAUCCAUGAAUUUGAUUCGAUUUGUUUUUCUUAUACUAUUUGUUUUUCUUAUACUAUAGAAAUAGAAAUCUUUUUUUAUUAUACUAUAGAACGAAAUAAACCUUUGAAUUCAGCAUUAUUCCAAGACUCCUAUUUCAAAGUAUAUCUUUUAAGGGAAAAAUGAAAAUAAAAGUAACUCUUCUUUUCCCAUUCCCUCUCUAUUGCAUGGUUGGAA